UUGUCAAAAAGACUUGAAUGUUCUUAUCCUAAAAUAAGUUCCAUUAAAACAGUCAUAAUAUUUAUGGCAUGGUCCUACUUAAACCAGUAAAAUCUCUUGAACUAAUUUAAAGGUUCAAUCCUGCUCACAUGAGUAAGGAGAGGAUAGGGUAUUUGUUUAAAUUUUAUUGUAUUGAAUUUCGCACUUUCAAUACUUCUACGUAGUUAUUACGAUUUCAUCAAGUUUACGAUGUUAAUGAUCAAACAGUACACUUUCUAAACUAACUAAAAUAGUACCUAGCUAGCUAAUUAGAUAACGGAUUAAUGGAAUAGAUGUGGAUGUCUAGUUUUAGAGUUUGAUUUUUUUUUUAAAAUUAAUCAAAGAAAACAUAUUUUUAAUUUUGGGUUAUUGUACUAUUAAUUAAUAAUUUAAUUAAAAAAAUUUAUUUAUUUGCUUUCAUUCUAGUUGUUGAAAAUGCCUUUAAUAGGGGUUGGUUCAAUAUUUGGUUAGACUCUGAUUUCAUGCCGGCGAUCCAACUCCUUCUCUUCAUCCCUCUUUGACCAUUUGCAAUGUACUUGCAUUGCAAAUGUCUGUAGUCAAACUUGGGUCUUCAAUGUACUCACAUCCCUUGGUAGGAUUUCUCUCCUUCAAAGAUUAACGCUCUUUCUUCUCGAGAUGCAAAUGGCUUUUCAAAUUGUCAUUUUUGUUAAUAUAGGUCCUACAUUCAUGGUUUUCCUUAAGAUUUUAUAUCAUCUUAGCUUUAUGCAUUUAAAGAGUGAGAUUUUAUAUCACCUUAGCUUUAUGCAUUUAAUGAGGGAUAGGGUUUACUAUAUCCCCUAAUUAAUUGUGUUAAGUCUAUUUUUUAUAGAGUUGACAUCUUAUGGCAAGUUUGGUAAAUUGAAAUUUUAUUUACUGAAUUUCAUGUAAUAGUGAAAUGGCCCGCCCCGAACCCCAGGGUGAGUCUAUUUAAUCUCAUCAAAACUGGAUUGAUAAUAAUCUAAUUAGUGAAAAUUCUGUCGAAAAUUCGGCAAAGUCUCCUUUAUAAAUAUAACACUCCCAAUCUGAAAAUAUGUAAAACAAGCACUUCCAAAAUAAUUCAAUUUAUAAUAAACUCCAAUGAUCAACAUCCUCAACCAAAAUGCUGAGUGUUUCUCAAGAUAUCUCUAGAGUCUCAAAGGAUAAUAUUAUAAUUAAUAUUAAUAUACCUCAGUUUAUUCUUAAUCCCAAAAGAACAAGAUAACCAGGAUGUCCUAACAAAAAGCAUCUAUAUCUUCUAACACCAUCACGUGGCCAAGACUCAAAAUACUUCUGAAGAGGCAACGUCCCACCAAAAAAAAAAAAAUUUUGAUUUAAUGUGUUACUAACAAUCUAUCCAGGGAAAAAAAAAUUCUUUAAUAGGAUCUAUCGAACUUGACCUGUGUUUAUAUUUCCUUUCAUUUUCCAUAAUUUGUCAUCUAAUGGGUCAAUGAAUUAAUUUGCUUCUUUUUUUGUUCUCCUUUCCCCACUUGUAUUUCCCUUCACGGCCAGUUGACUAUUCUGCAUACUCGAGUGUGUGUCAUUGUCUUGAUGACUUUUCACUACAACUCUAAAAUUAUCACUGUUACUCUUCUUUGUAAACUACGCACUCGAUGGUUGAGCGAUGACGCCUCCACAACUUAAUUAUUCUUAGCCGAGCUGCCAAUGCGCCAAUUUGUAAUGAGCUUUAGCUGAUGGUUUCUGAGAUGGGCUCUAAUUAGUGCACCUAAAAUGUAACAAAUAUCUCACGUUAACAACCCAAAAUUCCAUAAUUUCAUGCAAAAUCAUUCUAGAAGUUAAAAUUAGGUGUUAAUCCGACACAAACACCAGAAAUAUUAAUGAAAUUUGGAUUUACUAAAAUUGGCAUGAUUUUUUAAUUUAGAUCAAUUAAACAUAUUUUUAAUUUUUAUAGUGUCGGAUUCACUAUAAGUCGUCAUAAAUCAUUAUCAACAGACGUUCAAGGCCCGCGGAUAAAGACUCAAGACUAGAAUUAGAAGUCUUCCAGUAUCAAUCAGUCUUAGGUGAUGGCAAGCUCGAUUUCAGUCAAGUGGUUUAGGUCUUUGCAUGUUCUAUGCAUAUGUCGUGUCAGAAAAUUCUUUCUUAGUUCUAAGCCAACUAAAGUUGAAUUCGCCAUAUCAUUAUAAUGGAUGUUAAUGUUGCUAACUUGGAGUCAAAGUCAUGCGUUGAUUGCAUUUGUAUUGUCUAUAUGACUAGGACGUGGCAAAGGCUCAUGGAAUAAAUCUGCUUCUUUUUUCUCCUUUCCGCACUACCACCAGUUGACUUAACUUUUCCUUCACGGCAUGCUGAAUGAGAUCUUCUACUCCAUCAGUGCAUUUAGGAUUCGAUUUCUAAUUUGUCCGAAGUCUCUGCAUUUUCUUGAACUCUCUACUCUUCCUCGUGUAAUUAAGGAGGAUUAAAGUAAAAGAAAAGGGUAGAACCAGAUAUUCCUAUUUGUUGCACUAACUAUCAGAUUUCCAUAUUAUAGUAAUUAUUGGCCAAAAACAUAAUUUUUUAUUUAAAUUGUCAAAAAGACUUGAAUGUUCUCAUCCUAAAAUAAGUUCCGUUAAAACAAUCAUAAUAGUUAUGGAAUGUUUAUAACUAGAAUGAAUGCUCCUACUUAAACUAGUAAAAUCUCUUGAACUAAUUUAAAGGUUCAAUCCUGCUCACAUGAGUAAGGAGAGGAGAGGGGAUUUGUUUAAAUUUUAUUGUAUUGAAUUUCGCACUUUCAAUACUUCUACGUAGUUAUUACGAUUUUAUCAAGUUUACGAUGCUAAUGAUCAAACAGUACACUUUCUAAACUAACUAAAAUAGUACCUAGCUAGCUAAUUAGAUAACGGAUUAAUGGAAUAGAUGUGGAUGUCUAAUUUUUGAGUUUGAAUUUUUUUUAAAAAUUAAUCAAAGAAAACAUAUUUUUAAUUUUGAGUUAUUGUACUAUUAACUAAUAAUUUAAUUGAAAAUUUAUUUAUUUGCUAUCAUUCUAGUUGUUGAAAAUGCCUUUAAUAGGGGUUGGUUCAAUAUUUGGUUGGAGUCUCCGAUUUCAUGGUGGCGGUCCAACUCCUUCUCUUCAUCCCUCUUUGACCAUUUGCAAUGUACUUGCAUUGCAAAUUUCUGUAGUCAAACUUGGGUCUUCAAUGUAGUCACAUCCCUUGGUAGGAUUUCUCUCCUUCAAAGAUUAACGCACUUUCUUCUCGAGAUGCAAAUGGCUUUUCAAAUUGUCAUUUUUUUUAACGUGGGUCCUACAUUCACUAUUAGAAAAAUGGGCUACCAUGACAGAAUUUUUAUGAUAAAUAUUAGAAAAUUAGUCAUUUAUCACAAGAAUGUGAUAGACACAUGAAAGAAUUUUCAUACAUCAUAAAGCCAUGUCAGAUUUGUGAUAGAGUUUUUAUAUAUCAGAUAAACAUGAUAGCAUAUAAAUAUUUAAUCAAACCGUGAGUUUCAGAUGGAAUUAAUUUGGGCAUGAAACGACACCGUUUAACAGAUUUAAAAAAUUUUAAAAAUAAAAAUAUUUAUUUAAUAUUUAAACGCUAUCAUUUAACUAUAUUGACUAAACCACAAAAAAAUUAAGUGUUGGCACCUUUGACUUAUCACUUCAUCAGCAAGGGCUGAGAAACCAAAGCAGUGAAACCCCUCAAAAUCUAAAAUUAACCUAUUUUAAUCUACAAAUUGGUUUUGAAACCCAUUGCAUGGAAACCAAAAUCAUAGUAUAUGCUAUUGAAGGAGCCUUCGUGUCCUUAUUUUAAACCCCCAUUAUUUUGAACCGAUUGGUUUUAGGCACAAAAUCACCACACACGCUCAUUGCUGCGCCUUCGCGUCCAUUAUUGAAGCCGUCGGUGUCACUACUUCUUUGUAUUGUUCAAUCGGCGUUAGAGAAGCCAUCCUGUAAUUGUUUAAUCCCUAGGUUUGUCAUCAAUUAACUUUUUUAAUUUUUAUUCUGAAUAAAUCAAUUGGCCAUUAUAAAAUUAAUUGUUAGUUUUGUUGUUAUCUCCCUUAUUUGUUCAUAAUUUAUGCCCUUUGUUUUGGGAGUUAUAUUAUGAAUGGUUUAUGUUUAUUAUUUAUUUAUUUUAAUUCUUGUUUGUUUCUGUUGUUAUAUAUAUAUUUUUAGUUCAAGAAGCUUAUACUUUGUCCUUUUAUUAAAUCUAGAAAUUGCUCAAUCAUUUAAUUUAGCAUGUCCUCUUCUUUUUUAACAAAAUUUUUUUGUUCUGAAUCGCAAGAUCUCACUGCCCUGUUCGCUUUCAAACUCGAUUUCUAACAUCACGUUUGUUCAAUUUUUUACUUGCCUUUCCGUUCAAUGUUUAAAAAAUGUUUGCUGGUAAUGGUUUGUUUGUUAUAUUCUAUAAUUUUUCAGUCAAAGCUUGCAUGUGUGUGAAGUGAUUUUGGUUGAUGAUAUAGCACUUUUCAUUUACUAGUGUCUUUUAUUAGGAUGAAGCUGAAACUGUGGUCCAAUGGUGUUGGCAUUUUUUUUAAUGAUUGUGAGCCAGAUUUUGUGUAUUUUAUUGAGUUACAAAGUAAGGCCCCCUUUUUCAAUUGUCUUUUUUAUGUUUGAAGGAAGUGGUACCAUGUGGGGGCAAGUUUGGUCAUGUGGACCAAGUAAUGUUUAGUUGCUUAUCUAUAUAUAGUCUUGUGGUCCAUGAAAUGCUGGAUUGUUAGAAUUUUUUUUAAAAUAAAUGUUAAAUGUAUAUAGGCCAAGUUAUUUAGGAUAUUAUUAGUUGGGUAUGGUUAGUCGGUGAUUUUGGUAAAUGAUGAUAGCAUGUUGGUAAAUGAUGAUAGCACAUGAUGACAAGUUUUGUUUUAAACUUAUUUAUUUUAUUAAAUUUAUAAACUGAAUAUUAAUAAUGUUUUGUUGCUUAAUUUAUUGAUAAUGAAAACCGUUUAUCAUUGUUGCCCAUUAGUACAUUAUGUUGAAAUUUAUCUCAAUUAUAUGUCAGGCACUAGACAAAAUAUGGAUAAAUCUUGGCUUAAAUAUGAUAGAUUGUCCGAUGAGUAUAAGGCUAGUGUGGAAAAAUUUAUUAAGACCACAGUUGAAAGUAAUCAAGAAAUUAGUGUUGUUAGGUGUCCAUGUGAUAAAUGUCGGAAUUUAGCAUUUCAUAGGCCUAAAGAAGUGAAAGAUUAUUUAAUUAUAUGGGGUUUUGUUACGUCAUACAAAACAUGGGUUUGGCAUGGGGAAGAUAUCUGUAACAAAUCUCUUGACAAUAUAGGUUGCCAAAAUGACAGUGGAUAUAUGGAUUAUGAUGGUGGUAAUAUUGUUGAAAUGGUUGAAGAUGCUUUUAAGGAUUGUGAUAGUGAUCCUAAAGCAUUCAAAAAACUAUUAGAAGAUUCUGAAAAGCCUUUGUACCUUGGAUUAAACAAAUUUACCCAGUUAUCAGCUUUAGUUAAAUUGUACAAUAUAAAGGGCAGAUAUGGGUGGUCUAAUAGUAGCUUUUCAGAUUUGUCGAGUGCUCUUUCUAACAUGUUACCGGAAGGAAAUGAAUUGCUUGUAUCAAUGUAUGAGGCCAAAAAGACAAUGAGUGCUUUAGGCUUAGAGUUAUAAAAAUUCAUGCUUGUGCAAAUGAUUGUAUACUCUAUAGAAAAGAGUAUGAAAGCCUUUCUAAUUGUCCUACAUGCUGCUUAUAGGAAGGAGGUUCCUGCAAAAGUGUUAUGGUAUUUCCCUUUUAUACCUAGAUUUAGGUGUAUGUUUCAGUCCUCACAAACUGCCAAAGACUUGACUUGACAUGUAAAUGAGAGGGAAAUAGAUAUUAAGCUUCGACAUCCAAUUGACUCACCCGCAUGGAAGUUAGUUGAUGAAAAAUUGCCUACCUUUGCAUUAGAGCCUAGAAAUCUACGUCUUGCCCUAUCAGCUGAUGGCAUUAAUCCUCAUAGCUCUCUUAGUAGUACGUAUAGUUGCUGGCCGAUUCUUCUUGUAACAUACAAUCUUUGAAACAACCCGCCCCGAACCCCCGGGGAUGAGUCUAUCUAAUCUCGCCUAAACGAAUUAAUAAUAAUUAUAAUAUCUAAGAAUUCUACCAAAAAUCUAGCAAAGUCUCAUAUAUAAUUAUGACAUCCCCAAACUUGCAAUUUAUAAAAUUAAACCUGCAAUUUAUAAAAUUAACGCUCCCAAAAAUGAUACAAUAUUCAAUCAACCUCCACAACCAACUUCCUCAAUCAAACACCAAUAUUCUUCAAACAUAUAAUGUCAAGAAUACAAUAAUUUAUCCUUAAUCACAAAUAAAUAAUAAAUUAUACAAUUCAAAAUAUCCCAACAAAACAUCUAUGAUUCCUAACACCAUCAUGUAGUCAUAAUUUCAAAUCUAACUAUCGUUGCUGGGUCGACUGAUGUACCUGCAAAUCUCCUGUGGGGGGAAAAAAUAUAAUAAAAACGGGAUGAAUAUAAAACUCAGUGAGCUCAGUGAGUGGAUAGUAAUUUUUGAAAAAAUAAAUUUAUUUAAAAUGAUUUAAUCUUUCCCAAAUCAAUUUCAUCAAAAAUAUCAUAAGAACUUACAUAAACUUAUUUAAUUCAAAUCAUGCACUGAAAUAACAAUAUUACAUAAAUAUGCGUAAAAUCAAUGAAAUCAUAAUACUUAUGAUAUCAAAUACUGAAUACCAAAAACUAUCACCAAACAAGUACCCAGGAGAAUAAUCUCAUCAUAUUCGGACCUCGACGGACGGGCAAUCAGGGAACCAUCAUGCCUCGGAGUUACAACAGAUAGACGGGGAAAUGUCAUAUCAUAUCUCAUAUAUCUCAUUAUAUCUGUGCAUGCAUAAUCUGGUCCCUAAAUGACAAGGCACCCAAGCACACGGCCCAAAGUCUCUGUGUGUAUUCAGACGGGCCCUAAAGGCCUAUAUCUCAUCUGUAUCAUCAUAUCUCGUCUGUAUCAUCAUAUCUCGUCUGUAUCAUCAUAUCUCAUUUGUAUCAUCUGUAACUCAAUAUUUGUAUCUCUGUAAUCACCAUACUGCAUGCAUAUUCCCCCAAAAGGCAAAAGCGCCCAAACACACGGCCCAAAGCCUCUAUGUGUGUUCAGACGGGCCCCAAAGGCCUCUCAUCUAAUAUCAUAUGUAUCACUGUAUCUGGAGGCGAUGGGUACUGUCCAAUGAUUUUCUAAACAACCUUUUACACACAUGUACAUAAACAUAUAAUCACAUCUGAAUUCGCAUUACCUUUUUAUUCAACAUACUCAAUUCCACUCAAUUCUCUUUAAAACUAUUAUCAUGAAUUUACUCAAAAGCGAUAAUAAAAUCAUUAAUCAAACUCAUUCUUAAUAAUAAUAAAUAUCAGCACGCAGAAAAAAAUCCAUUUUCUAGAAAAUCAUUAAAUCGAAGCAUCAAAUACUUAUUAUCAAAACAUGUUGUAUUGUAUAGUAAAAUCAUAAUAUACUAUAAAAAUAGGUUUUAUAUAUUCCACUCAGAGUGAUGACGUCCAAACUCGGUAUUAACAAUAUUCAUGGGUUGAUUCUCGUGCGCGGGUCCUCCUAAUCAAGAAAAUGACAUAAUCAUUCUCUAUAAAUUUGAAAUAUAACUAAUUUUACAUAAUAAUUCUCGAAACAAAUAUCUAACCACAAUAAACUAUUCCCGCAUGCACAAAAUUACCAAAAUACCCCUAUAUGCCAAAAUUACCAAAAUACCCCUAACAUCAUUAUUUUACAAAAUUAUCCUCAGAAUCUUCAAUUACCAAACUAUCCUCAAUUCAGAUCACAAAAAUAACCACAAUGUCAGAAAAUUACAAAAUUACGUUGGAGUGUAAAAUUACCAAAAUACCCAACAACGUAAAUUAUUGAAUUACCCCCAAAAUCUCAAAUUACCUAAUUGUCCUAGUCCGAAAUUACAAAAUUAUCCACCGAUUCCAAAAAUUACAAAUUUAUCCUCGAAGUUUAUGAAAUUACUGAAUUACCCCCAUCGGUCCACGGUGACCGGAGUUCAGUCAACGCGACGUGAAGCUCAGGUCUAAUAGUUUUGACCACGCUGAGUCCAAUGGUGGUGGCUGUGAGUUCCCACGCACGGUGACAGUGGCGGAUCGAGCUUCCCAAUCUGCGAGCUUUCUGGUGGUCGAUCGGUGGAAUUUCGACCGUUUCAGGAGGCGAGGUUGGUCGGAAAAUGAUAAGGGUUAGGUGAGGAUCAAGAUCCAGGCAGUGGCAUCACCCAAAAUUGGCGGAGUUAACGGUGACGAAAACGGGUUGAGCUGCGGGUUUUCCGAGCUUGAUCACCGGUGUUCUCGUUGUUUUCCAACGACGAGGAAGGUAAGGGUAUGACCAGUGUCUCACAAGCUUUCUAUCCGUACCUUGCUCGGCCGGUGAGGUGGCCAAAAAUGGAAGUUACGAUAGGGUCAGGGUUGCGGGUUUCGGGUCGAAUUCGGGUCAAAAUCGGGUCUAUCUCUCUCCCGCGCCCUCUCACAUCUUUCCUUUUUUUGAAACCGGCUCCCUUCUUUCAAUUUAUAGAAACUAGCUUUUUUUUUUAACUUACUUCGAAUUAAGCCAAUGUCAAACCCGUGUUGAAAUAAAAUCCGACUACACAACCAUUGAAUCGUGUUUGAAAUGUCUCAAUUUUAUGUUGUGACAAAUUUAAAUUUAUUCAAAACACGAUCCAUUUAUUAGCUCGACCCGAAUCCAUUAAUUCAUGGUAAGAAAUCGACCCGCGUCAAGUUUGCUCGUAAUAAUUUGUAGCCAAUCUGAUGACUUUAAAAUUAAUACUAAAAUGAAAAACACAUAAUACACUUAACUAGGAAAAAUUAAGGUGCAUAUAUUAUAAUCCUCCCCCGUAUAAAAAUUUUGUCCUCGAAAUUUACACAUCUGAUGAGAACAGGUGAGGGUAUUGGGCUCGCAUUAAGUCUUCGCGUUCCGAAGUAGCCUCUUCCCUUGUGUGAUUCCUCCACAACACUUUUAAGUUGUAUAUUCUCAUUAGUAUUCUAAACCAAUUCGGGACCAAAAAGCUUUCGCUCACCAACCUCAUCCCAACAUACGGGAGUUCUAUAUUUUUUGCCAUGCAAAGCCUCAUAAGGUGCCAUCUCGAUACUAGCUUGAUAACUGUUAUUAUAAGUAAACUCCAUCAAGGGUAAAUAAAUGUCCCAACUACCCUUAAAUUCCAAAACACAAGCUCGUAACAUAUCCUCCAGGGUUUGAAUAGUACGCUCUGACUGACCAUCAGUCUGUGGAUGAAAAGUUGUCCUAAAAUUCAGCUUGGUGCUUAAUGCCUUUUGCAAGCUUGUCCAGAACUUAGAAGUGAACUGGGAAUCUCUAUCUGAAACAAUAGACACAGGUGCUCCGUAAAGCUGAACCAUCUCGGCCACAAAAAUAUUCCCUAACUUGUCCAUCGAAUAGGUGGUCUUGAAUGGUAAAAAGUGAGCAGAUUUUGUAAGUCGAUCAAAAACCACCCAAACACUAUCAUGACCACCUUGGGUACAUGGAAGUCCCGCUACAAAAUCCAUGGUGAUGUGCUCCCACUUCGACUCAAGGAUCGGAAGCGGUUGCAAAAACCCUGCAGGUCUCUGAUGUUCAGCCUUAAUCUGCUUACAAACUAAACACCAAAAUACAAAUUCUGCUAUCUCUCUCUUCAUAACUUGCCAUCGGUAAUGAUCCCUCAAGGUACGAUAUAUCUUCGUACUACCAGGAUGCAUUGUGUAAGCUGAAUAAUGAGCUUCUUCCAUGAUCUCCUUUUUCAGCUCCUUAAUAUUGGGUACACAAAGUCGAUUACCCAUAACUAAAACUCCAUCAUCUCUCACUACAAAAUCAGUUCGUAAGCCUUUCAGUACAUCCUCUCUUAACUUUAAUAAUUGUAUAUCCUGAUCUUGCAUCUGAUGUACUUUGUCAAUCAAAGUCGGCCUAACUCAAAAAUUAGCUAUCAAAGCUCUGCAAUUUUCAAUAUCCAACUCAACUCCCAAAGAUCUCAGCUCGAUCAAUAAAGGCAUAUAUGUCACUCACAAGUGAGCUAUAGAGCUGGAAGACUUCCUACUUAGCGCAUCAGCUACCACAUUCUCUUUGCCCGGAUGAUAAUCAAUAGUGCAAUCAUAGUCUUUAAUUAGCACAAUCCAUCUCCUCUACCUCAAAUUUAACUCUUUUAGAGUAAACAAAUACUUUAAUCUCUUGUGAUCAGUGAAAAUCUGGCAUGUUGCCCCGUAUAAAUAAUGCCUUCAUAUCUUGAGUGCAAAUACCACUGCUGCCAGCUCUAAAUCAUGAGUUGGGUAGUUUUGUUCAUGCUUUUUAAGUUGUCUAGAAGCAUAAGCCACUACUUUCCCAUAUUGCAUUAGCACACAACCCAAUCCUUGCCUGGAUGCAUCACUGUAUACUACAAACCCUUCAUUACCAGAAGGAAGUGUAAGAACUGGUGCUGAAGUAAGACCUGUCUUGAGUUCUUGAAAACUCUUUUCACAGUCAUCAUCCCACUGGAACUUAGCAUUUUUUUCUAGUUAAUCGUGUCAGAGGAGUAGCAAUCUUAGAGAAUCCCUUGUGCAAAUUUUAUUGAACUCGCAAGUGCACGAAUCUAUUGUAGAAUAUAGUAAUGGUGACGAGUGUCGAUCCCACGAGGAUGUGGAUUUUAAUUAUGUGUAAAAUUAAUUUUCUAAGUGGGUGGUUGGAUUUGUGGUGAAAAUGAUUUGGAAUAUUCUAAAAUUUAAAUUAGAAUGGCGGGAAUAAAUUAAAGCGAAGUCUAUUGAAAUGAAACACUUGGGUAUCUGGAUCUACAUCAACAUGUACCAUGAGCUAAAUAUUCCUUAUUAAUGUCAAUUAAAUCAUAAGGGGGGUUUUCACUUCUCAUGAACCACACUCUAAUCAAUAUGGUUCUAAGGGCUUAUCAUGCCAAAUAGUAAUAACCUUGCACUAGGGAGCCAGUUAUACCAGUGCGGUAUCUAGACAAGAUUAUUACUAUCUGUCGACGAAAAGUCAAAACAUCCACAUAAAUUAGAGGGGAAGAGAAAUAAAUUUACCAAAUCAAACCCAUGGAAUAUAUUGAGACUUCACCUUCAACCCAAGCUUGAAAGAAAAUUAGCUACUCAUAAUUGAAUUAGGGGUAAAAUGAGAAUUUAUUAAAAUACGUAGAAAAUACAAGAUGAAGAAGGAAUUAUAGAAAAUGGAGUUAAAAAAUGAAUUUAGGGGUCUCAAAUUAGGGGGGAGCCCCCUUUUUAUAGAUACACUGAGUAAAUCAUGGCCAUCGGAUUAAAAAUAAUUUGGACGCUCAGAAUUGCGCCACGUGUCAACAGUACGCGGUUUGACCAUGCGGUUUGAAUAGUGACGCGGUGUGAACAGUGAGGCGGCUUGAAUAGUGACACAGUUUAGUUAUAAAUAAUUUCGUGUAUAUGCAUGUACCGUACGCACGAUUUUUGGUCCACUAACAUACUGCCAUGUCACCGAAACAGUACAUAAAAAUUUUAGUCCAAUAGGAUCGUGACACCUCAUCAGUUAAUGUCACGUCAUCGAUCAAUGCCACGUCAUAGUUCCGUAUAUGUGAACAGUGUCGUAAACAGUAAUAUGGACAGUUUCGUACAUGUAAAUAGUGCCAUUUUUUUCUUUUAUGCUCCUCCUAAGAUUUUCGACUGUCCUGAGUUCAAAAGUGUUGUCCGUUUUACUGUCUGAUCUCUCGUUCAUUGUGAAAUGACCAUGAUGCCCCUAAAAUACAUAAAAUACUUAAUUAUAAUACAACACACAUAAUUAAAUCACAAGAGACUUAAAUACAUAAAAGUAGGGAUAUUAGUGAAAUUUGGAGUGUAAAUGACGAUUUUCUCCUAUAUAAAUAUAUAUUUUCUAACACUCAACACACCCCCCAACCAGCUUAUUGCUAGUCCCUAGUAAUUAAAGUGAAAACAAAAUUCAAACCCAAAAUGAUUUUUUUUUAAAAAACUCAUAUUUAUUGAAUCAGACUAAUGAUAGCAAUCAAAUAAAAGUAUAAGCAUUAUCUUUAGUAUAAAGGAAUAUCACUCCCACAUCAACCAUCCACAUGAAUCAGUCAAGUAGACUUUGUCACAGCUACUUUCAAGAAUGAUAUGUGAAACCCCAAAAUCUCAUUGGAAGUAGUGACACUCUCACAAGGAAAUUAAACCCAAUAAAAAUAGUCACUCCAAUGAAUGUUAAAUUUGAGAGAAAAUAAUAAAGAAGUAAUAUCACACGCUCUCACCAAGAUAAAAGAAAUAUGCCCACAACUUAGAAAUAAUACGAUCUUAAGUCAAAUAAAAUGCUAGUCAACCCAAUUUUUUUUUUUAAUGCACCACUACAUCUUUUUAGCUCAUAUAACUAGCUUCUACUUCAGACUAUAGAUCCCUAAAAUAAAGAAGGGCUUUUAUUAGGAUGUAACGUAGUAUAGGAACAUGGUUAACAAAAGAGGGGAAAUAAGGAAAACAAAAUAUAUGUUUGAGAAAAAGUAGAGAGCUUUUGGAAAUUACAAAGUGCAUUUCGCUUAUUUAUUAUUAUUGUUAUUUUUUUCUUUUUCUCUCUUUUUUUUUUGAAACAAAAUUUUUUUGUUUUGUUUUGUCUUUUGUAUGGCACAACUUCACUGAACAAAAUAGUUAUUUACAUUGUUCUCAAACAUAAAUAGGUGAUGAAACUUGUAAGAUAUCAGGUAAUACUCUAAAUCAGAGAUGGUCAAGAGGAUAAGUUGACAAAGAAAUUUUUUUUUUUUUAAUAUAUAUGAAAGGCUCAAAAGGGUUAACUAUGGAUAUUUCACAAAAGGGAUGACUAGAAAAGCUCAAACGGGUCAAAGAUGACCUUUUUAUCAUCUUUUAGGGCUCUAAAUAAUCUUCCAUAUCUACUAGUUAGAUGGACCUUCAGAUGUAGCGACACAUUUUUUUUUCUCUUUUUUUUUUAGAGGAUUGACUCAAAAGAAAUCUAGAGAUCGUGUACAAAAUAAUAAACUGCUAAGCUGUAUGAGGAAUGGGCAAAAAUGGUUACUCUCCAAAAAAAAUGACAGGCUAAAAAAUUCACUUAGUUUUCAUUAUGACAUGUACAUUCCUUCAAGCAACUCAUAUUUGUCUCCGACAUCAACAUGUAGAGUAGCAAACAUGGCGUAACAUCACUUAAGACCAAAGAUAAUACAAAUACUAAAAUUUGAAAGUCAUCAUGUCAUCCAAUGUUAAAAAAAAUCACACAAUUUUUUUUUUUUUUAGGUUCAAACGACAUUCUACCCCCCAACCUAUUCUAAACAUGAAAAUAAAAUAUGCAUGUAGAAAGGUGAAAAUGAUGCAGAAAAACUAAUUAGAAAGGUUACACUUAAAAUGAUAGAAAAAGGAAAUGUUUGAAAUUUUUUUUUUACCUAAGAAGAUGUGUUUCUAGAGUCAUUACACUCAAUAUUCAGCCAUCUUCAAAUCAAAAAUUUGAAAGUAUAUAUUUAUAAAUGAGAAAUUAGAAAAAAGAAGUUAGAAAAAAUUGAUUGUCAAAGCUUAAUAAAGAAAAUGUUUGGAUUUUUUAUUUUUAUUUUUACUUCCAAACCAAGAAGAUGUGUUUCUAGAGUCAUUACACUCCAUAUUCAGCCAUCUUUAACACAAAAAGUUAGUCACGGUUAGUCUCUACAACAAAAAAAAUAAGUAAAAACUUAACCAAGAUUCCACAAUUGUCAACUAUUCCCUCCCCCCAACCAGAAUGAAACAUUGUCCUCAAUGUUUUAAAGGAAAGAAGUAGAGUUUAGAAGACAUUACCUGGGUGGUGCAACACAUAAGAAAAUAUUUACAAGCGGAGAGUUAAAUCUAAUUUACACUUCUUACUGCUGCUACUGUUCCCAUCAUUAUUUGGACACUCCAACACCAAGGUCCUGGGAUCUGGGUCUGGUUGAUAAGCUUGUAACAGAUCAAGUAGCUCAUUAGCAGUAUGAACACAAAUAAAAACGUUUUUCGCUGUGGAAUGAAUGAAAUAGUUUUUUAUUGCAUGGUUAAUAAAUGAGAUGAAGCCAUCAUAAAAAUUAUUGACAUUUAACAAACUAAUCGAUUUUUGGUGAAUGUUCAGAUGGACCCAAGAUGCUAAUGUGAUAAGUGCCUCUAGAGUUGCAAGAUCUCCUGGUAGGAAAAUAAAAGCAUCAAUAUGAUUUAGCAUUUCAUUUAUUCUCUCUUGCAUAACUGAGACUACUAACUCUUCUCCAGUCGGUGAGUCAGACAAACUACGCAAAGGCUUUAAGGCUCUUGGGAUGAUGCCUAACACUUGGCUUCCUCUAACAAAAGCAGCUUCUGAGACCAAUUUUGAUAGCCCUCGGUUACCUCCUCCAUACAAUAAGUGUAAUUUUCUCUCUGUUAUGCUUCGACCAAGAUCUAUGGCUGCCUCAACGAACUCUUUAUGUUUGCCACAGUUAAAUUUAGAAAGCACACAAAUAUUUUUGAAUUGCUUAUUGGGAGUAGCUGCCAUUAGGAUACUUCUAGAAAACAAUGUGUGUGUGCUUAACAAAAAAUCAUUUUUAAAAAUCUUGGUGACAGUGGGUCACAGCUUUGUAUGAGGUAGCAUGUCUGUGUUUAGUAACGCGUAAAGCACAUGGCUCGAGAAUAAAAAAGGAAACAAUAAAAAGGAAAAAAAACAAUGUUAAAAUAAAAUUAUUAAAUACAAUAAUGCAAAUGAUAAAACAACAGUGAAAUAAAACAAUAGUGAAGUAAAAGGAUAUUUACAGGUAGUUGUGACUGUAGCUCACAUCUUCCUCUAGUUUUACGUCUAGAAAUGGCUUGAACGCCCUCUAUGGGUCGAGGAUGGGCUUCCCAUCCAAUUUUCUUAUAAACUGGAAAACAUGGUUAUAAUUAGAUUCCCGAGACUAUAUAGUGCACGCUCUUUCUGGAAUAAUGGCCACAACUGGAGAAUUGCUCCUUGUACAUAUCCACUGGGAUGCGUUUCAAGAGACAAAAGGAUAUCAUCCAAUGAUUAUUUAUUCAAGCCAUCCCUAAUGAAUUGAAUCUUAUAUUCCCUAUUAUUAGACAUCAUUCCUAAAGAACAUCAUUUUUUAUCGCAUCUCAUUCUGGUACACUUAUGACAAGCAACAAAAAGUCUUCGAGCUUUUCGUUUUCUUGUAUUAUUUCCUUUACCACAACCACACAUGUAUGCAAUAAAUUUAGGAGGCAACUCACCUGCCAAUCGUACCUUGGCCUCGAUUAACUAGCGGAUGUCAGCAGGUAUGUUAUUCCUCAUAAGCAAUCGCAUGCGUUCGAACCGAGAUUUAUAGAUUGUAAAGAUUGUGAAGCUUUGCUAAAAUCUUAUUUUUGUCCAUACUUUGCCUUAGAAUAUUAGUUAUUAUGGGAAACUGAAGUAACCGACUUGAUUGUCACGGAGUACUGUUAUUCGCCACUUAACCGGGUAACAAACUAAAGUACACAAACAAAGUAACAAACUAAAACACACAAAGAAAAUUACAAUCAUCCUCUUAUUGAAUUUACCUCAAGCUCCAACUGGAUGUCGAAGAUACCUGCCUCAAUGUCUCUGAGUUGUCUUUCUAAAGCCUCAACAUGAGAUACUAACUCUGGUGGUUGUAGAUCCCAAAUAUGAUGUGUUUUACAAAAUCGAAUCUGGCUUCUGAGAUGAGAUUUUACACAUUCAAGUCGUCUAAGAAGGUCCAAGAGGAUUUGUUUAACUGAGGCACUUAUGCUUAACAAUGAUAAAAUAAAACUUAAUGGUUAAAUAAAUACACUUAUGCAAAAAUAAUUUCAAUUAGCAAAAGAAUAGUAAAAAGAAAGAAAAAAAAAUCAAAUCACCGUAAAGAAAGAAAAAUCUCUAUUCAAAUUUGGUGGGUCACUCAGAUUUAUUUCAGUGUCCUCUCCAUGUUGUUGGUACUCUAGAUAUGCCUUUAAUAUUUGACCAUUAACUUUAAAAGUGACACCGUUCUUUGGAUCCUUAAUUUCAAUUGCUUAAUGUGGAAAAACAGUGUGAAUAAUAAAAUGGCCAGACCAUCGAGAGUGUAACUUACCUUGGAAUAAGUGUAAGCGAGAAUUGAAUAAAAGCACUUUUGACCUGGAGUGAAAGAUUUUCUCAUAAUUUGCUUGUCAUGAAAGACUUUCAUUCGCUGCUUGUAAAUCUUGGCUUUUUCGUAUGCAUCAUUGCGAAUUUCUUCAAGUUCUGCCAGCUGUAAUAUUCUUUCUGAGCUAGCUUGCUACAUGUUAAAGUUGAAUUUCUUGAUGGCCCAGUACGCACGAUGCUCGAGUUCUACAGGUAGGUGGCAAGUUUUUCCAUACACUGGCCUGUAGGGUGACAUCCCAAUCGAGGUCUUGAAAGCCGUUCUAUAUGCCCAUAAUGCAUCAUCGAGUCUUAAUGACCAAUCUUUUCUGUCUGGCUUCACCGUCUUUUCUAAUACGUGUUUUAUUUCUCGAUUAGAGAUCUCAACUUGGCUAUUGGUUUGCCGAUGAUAUGGGGUCGCCACUUUGUGAGUGAUGGAAUAAUUUGUCAAAAGAACUUUGAAUGCUUUGUUACAAAAGUGGGCACCACCAUCACUGAUUAUUGCUCGAGGGAAUCCAAAGCAUGAAACGAUGUUGCUUUUCAAAAAUCCUAUCACCACCUUGUGAUUAUUGGUUCUACAUGGAAUUGCUUCUACUCAUUUUGAUACGUAGUUAACAGCAACCAAUAUGUAUUGAUGGCUAAAAGAAGGGGGAAAGGGUCCCAUGAAGUCGAUACCCCAUACAUUAAAAAUUUCAACCACUAAAAAUGGGUUUAGUGGCAACAUAUUCCUUCGUGUAAUGCUCCCCAUUCGUUGACACCUAUCACAUGAAGAGCAGAAAGUGUAAGCAUAUCGAAAUAUAGUUGGCCAAUAGAAACCACAUUGUAAAACUUUAGUAGUUGUUUUCUUAGCGCUGAAAUGGCCUCCACAAGCUUGUUCAUGAUAGAAUGAAAUUCUUUAUUUCCAUAAAAAAUUUGGCUUUAUCUUGCUUGGUCCAAUGCUCUGGAAGUUGACCUAUAACAAGAUAAUUAACGAUAUCAGAAUACCAUGGUAAUGCUUCCACACUCAUUAAUUAUUCAUCUGGAAGUGAUUUAUUCAAUGGUAAUGGUUCUGUAAUUGUGUUAAAAUUGAGACGAGAGAGAUAGUCAGCCACAACAUUUUCUGUGCCUUUUUUAUCUUUGAAUUCCAAGUCAAAUUCCUGCAAAAGUAACACCCAACGAAUUAGUCUAACUUUUUCAUCUUUCUUUGUGACAAGAUAUUUAAGAGCAACAUGAUCUGUGAAUACAAGUAUUUUACCACCAAUGAGAUAAGAUUGAAAAUUCUCUAAUGCAAACACUACUGUUAAUAUUUCUUUUUCAGUAAUUGAAUAAUUCAACUAUGCAUCAUUCAAUGUCAUACUAGCAUAGUAAAUAAUAUGGGGAUUCGAUCAACUCUGUCCUAAUACUGCUCCUACUACAUAAUCAGAUGCAUCACACAUGAGCUCGAAUGGUAAGCUCCAGUUUGGGGGUUGAAUGAUGGGUGAUGAUAUCAACAAUUGCUUUAGUUUUCUAAAUGCCACAAGACAUGAAUCAUCAAAGAUAAAAUGUACAUCCUUAGCAAGUAGAUUGCAUAAAAGUCUAGAAACUUUGCUAAAAUUCUUAAUGAAACGUCUAUAAAAACCAGCAUGCCCAAGGAAAGAUCUUACUUCUCUAACUGUUUUAGGUGGAGGAAGAAUGGAAAUGAGAUCCACCUUGGCUUUAUCAACCUCAAUACCUUUGUAUGAAAUGAUGUGACCGAGAACAAUACCUUGUUUUACCAUAAAAUGACACUUCUCACAAUUUAAGACCAAGUUUUUCUCUAUACAUCUCUGCAAAACUAGUGUUAGAUGAUGUAAACAUUGAUCGAAUGAAUUACCAAAAAUAGAAAAGUCACCCAUAAAGACUUCAAGGAAUCGUUCAACCAUAUCAGAAAAAAUGCUUAAUAUGCAUCAUUGAAAUGUAGCAGGUGCAUUACAUAAUUCAAAUAGCAUCCUCCUAUAUGCAAAAGUGCCAAAAGGGCACGUGAAAGUGGUCUUCUCUUUAUCUUUUGGUGUUAUAUGAAUCUGAUUAUAUCAUGAGUAGCCAUCUAGAAAGCAAUAAAGUUCAUGGCCUACUAAUCUAUCAAUCAUUUGAUCGAUAAAUGGUAAAAGAAAAUGGUCUUUACAUGUGACAGAAUUCAACUUUCUAUAAUCAAUGCAUACACGCCAUCUUGUAGUCACUCUAGUGGGUAUUAAUUUAUUAUCAGAAUUGGUAACUACUGUGACUUCUGACUUUUUGGAGGACAACUUACACAGGACUGACCCAUGAACUAUUAGAAAUUGGGUAAAUGAUACCUGCAUCUAAUAGCUUAAGGACUUCAGUUCUAACAACUUCCUUCAUGUUAGGGUUCAACCGACGUUGCAUUUCCCUAGUAGGUUUAGCAUUUUCAUCAAGGUGAAUGUAAUGUAUGUAGUCUACUGGGUUUAUACCUUUUAUGUCGGCUAUGGUCCAUCAUAAUGCUCUUUUGUGCUCUUUUAAAACUUCCAACAACUUACCUUUUUGUUCGUCAUUUAGGGAUGAUGAGAUGAUUACUGACAAAGUGUUUUCUUCUCCCAAAAAUGCAUAUUCUAAAGGGUUGGGUAAUUGUUUGAGCUCGAAUUUCGGUGAUGAUUCUAAUGAUGGGUUGAGUUUCUUUUCUGAUGGUGCUAAUUGUUCAACUCUUGACUUCCAUUUAUUAGUAUCUGUUGAUAAAUCUUUUAAUCAAAUGCUAUUGAUGACAAUGUGCAAGUGUACACAACAAGUAAUAAAGUGAUGAAUAUUCAAGAUCAUCUCCAUAGGGAUUGAUGUUACUAGAAAUGUUACAGCAAGCACAAUAGUGCAAUCUAUCUUUAUUCCGGGAUGAACAAAUGUAAAGUUGGUUACUAUUAAAAUUAAUAGUUGUGAGAGAACAAAAUAAAACAAUGCAAUGAUAAAAUAAAUUAAAUAAAAAUGCGUCAAAGAAUCAAAUGAGAAUACGGUAGUUGAAUGAUCAAACUCUCUUUAUGGGCUGACUGUUUUUCACCAAGUUAACACCAGUUGCUACAACAAUUUCUAUAGCACUGGGCAAAAUUUAUUAUGCAUCCUCAGCUGUUGCCUAUUGGAAUCCUCAUAUCCUUAAGUAUCUUAGCAAUGACCAGUUACUAUUCUACCUACGGCAUGACAUUAUGAACAUUCAUUCUCUCCACCCUACAAGGUGAGUACCUAUGUCUAGUUUAUCACAAAUCUUAACUUCAAGUAUGGCCCUUAUGGGAUUCAAGAUAAACUUAAUACAAGAAACUUAAAUUAAGAUCAAGUAUUACUCUAAUAAUAUCCACUAAGACAUGCCAUUUUGCGGCUCUAUCUUAACUUGAACCAUUAAAUGGGUGGUCAACCAAAAUAACAGUUAUAAUAAUAGCUACUAGAGUAAAAUGCUACAGCAAUGAUAUAACAACUCAUAAGAACAGUCAAGAACUCAUUAGAUUGUUUGUCACUCAACUACAAGCAAGUUAAGUUCAUGUUCUUAAAGAGAAAAACAAACAACAACAUAUUGGUCAUGAAAUACAUUAUUUCAGUCAAAGAGUGAAGAAAAGGAUAAGUUGAGAACGGCAAAGAGUGAAUCCAAAUAACUCUGCUAGAUUCUUCAAUGAUGCUGCAUCUGCUCCCUUGAAUUCUGAUCUUCCUCUUCUUUUUCUCUCCAAUUUCUCCAAAUAAUUCCUUGCCGCCGUUUUAUGUGAUGCGCGCCUCCUUUUAUAACUGAAAACUAGAGUAAACAAAAGCUUCGGGCGUACAUGAGUCAAAUUAGAAAACUGCAGAUCGCAAUUCUGCAGCUGACCCGAGCUAAGUUUUCUCCUUCGGUGUUCUAGGAUUGCUACAGCAAUGGUCGCUUCAGUAAUGGCUAUAAUACUGCACUGUUCCCGGUUGUGUUUCACUUCUUUUGUGGCCAUAUUCUUUCUUCUUCUUGCUAGCCUAAUAUCUCAGCAUCCUUUCAUAUAUUAUAAACUUCUGAAAACCUAUAAUUAUGCACAUGUUUUGAGCACAAGUUACUUUAAAUCUAGCAAAACUUAUUAAGACUAAACUAAAAUGGAUGUUUAUGCAAAACAUAACCAAAGUAUAAUAAAAACACAUCAUUUACUCUUUAAGUGGUAUUGAUUUAAGUCUAGAAUUGCCGUAAUAACUCUCUUUUCAUAAAGUUAUCAGUGUCCAUGAAUGGUACUGAGUCAAGUAGGGCGUUGACCUCAUCGACUAAACUGUCAAUAUCAAAAUCCAAACCAAAGUGAAUUAAACAUGUUUGUAAAGGGUCAUCACUAAGGUUUGAAAGAAAAGUAUUAUCAACUAAUGCUUCUAUUAAAUCCACAUCAACAAUUCCAUCAUCUGCAUUGUGAGGUUGUUUGGCAAUGUUGAAGAUGUUUAGCUCCAAAGUCAUGUUGCCAAAGGACAAUUGCAUAUUUCAAGUCCUGCAUUGAAUGUGAGUAUUGACAGUUGCCAAGAAAGGUCGACCUAGGAUAAUGGGGAUGUGCUUCCUUGAAUCCUGGAUUGGUUGAGUGUCAAUUACAAUGAAAUCAACAGGAAAAUAAAACUUCUCUACCUGGAUAAGCACGUCCUCCACAAUACCACAAAGUAUUUUCAUGAACCGAUCUGCAAGCUGUAACACCACUGGAGUUUGGUGUAAUUCUCCCAGUCCAAGUUUUAUAAAUACUGAAUAGGGUAACAGAUUUACACUAGCUCAUAAAUCCAACAAAGCAUUCUUAAUUAUGUGGUUCCCUAUACUACAUGAGAUAGUGAGGGAGCCUGUGUCUUUGUAUUUUAGAGUAAUUUUGUGUUGGAGUAUAGAACUAACGUUUUCUGUUAAAAAGACCUUCUUUUGAACAUGAAUAUUUCUCUUUUUAGUACAAAGGUCUUUAAGAAACUUGGCAUAAAAUGACACUUAUUUUAUAGCAUCAAGUAAAUGGAUGUUAACACUUACUUGUUUGAAGAUUUCAAAAAUCUCACCUGUGGAUUUUCCCUUCUUUCCUUUAGCUAACUUCUGAGGAAAUUGAGCUUUAGGAACGUAUUCUCGCGGGUUGGUUUCUUCUUUCUCCUCCGAUAAUGAGUCUUCAACAUUUACAGGUACAAUUUGAUUUUUUUUUGUCACCAGCAUCUCCACUUUGUUGUUGACUUCUUUUCAUUUUCGCAAGGUCAUGACGGCUUUUACCUCUCUAUUCUGCCAUGGUGAACUGGUACUUGCUUCAUGCACUUCUUUAGGAUUAGGCACUGGUUGACUUGGAAAUUUAUCUUUCUCAACAGUUAUUGCCAGAGUUUGAACUGACAAGGCAAGUUGUCCCACCAUCUUCUCGAGGUUUGAAACUGAUUGGACUGUGAAUUGAAGCCUACUCUCAUUUCAUUUUGUAGUUCAUCAAAGGUGUGGUUCUGUUGCUCAAUCGUGGAGUGAGUAAGAUUCUCAAAAUUUUGGAUUGCAUCCUCCCAUGGUCUGGGUUGAGAGUAGUUCUGGUUAUGAUUGUAUGAUCUAAAUAGUGGCUGAGAGACUUGAGGAACUUGAGGAAUUGGUUGCAUUGGUAGAGCUGGAGCUACUGGUCCAAUCUGUUGGAAUCCCCGGCAACGGCGCCAAAAACUUGUUGUGCAAAUUUUAUUGAACACGCAAGUGCGCAAAUCUAUUGUAGAAUAGAUUAAUGGUGACGAGUGUCAGUCCCACGAGGAUGUUGAUUUUAAUUAUGUCUAAAAUUAAUUUUCUAAGUGGGUGGUUGGAUUUGUGGUGAAAAUGAUUUGGAAUAUUCUAAAAUUUAAAUUAGAAUGGCGGGAAUAAAUUAAAGCGAAAUAUAUUGAAAUGAAGCACUUGGGUGUCUAGAUCUACAUCAACAUGUACCAUGGGCUAAAUAUUCUUUAAUAAUGCCAAUUAAAUCAUGAGGGGGUUUUCCACUCCUCAUGAAUCACACUCUAAUCAAUAUGGUGCUAAGGGCUUAUCAUGCCAAAUAGUAAUAACAUUGCACUAGGAAGCCGGUUAUACCAAUGCGGUAUCUAGAUAAGAUUAUUACUAUCUGUCGACAAAAAGUCAAAACAUCCACAUAAAUUAGAGGGAAAGAGAAAGUAAAUUUACCAAAUAAAGCCCAUGGAACAUGUUAAGACUUCACCUUCAACCCAAGCUUUAAAGGAAAAUUGGCUACUCAUAAUUGAACUAGGAGUAAAAUGGAAAUUUAUUAAAACACGUAGAAAAUACAAGAUGGAGAAGGAAUUACAGAAAAUAGAGCUAAAAAAUGAAUUCAAGGGUCUCAAAUUAGAGGGGGGGGAGCCCUCUUUUUAUAGAUAUACUGAUUAAAUCAUGGCCAUUGGAUUAAAAACAAUUUGGACGCUCAGGAUUGUGCCACGUGUCAACAGUACGCGGUUUGACUACAUGGUUUGAAUAGUGACGCGGCUUGGUUAUAAAUAAUUCCGUGUAUUUGCAUGUAAUGUACGCACGAUUUUUGGUCCACUAACACGCUGCCACGUCACCGAUCAAUAGUAGAUAAGAAUUUUAGUCCAAUAGGAUCGUGACACCUCAUCAGUCAAUGUCACGUCAUCGGUCAAUACCACAUCAUCAUUCCGUAUAUGUGAACAGUGUCGUGAACAGUAACAUGGACAGUACCGUACAUGUGAAUAAUGUCAUAUUUUAUUUUAUGGUCCUCCUAAGAUUUUCGACUGUCUUGAGUUCAAAAGUGAUGUCUGUUUUGCUAUUUGAUCUCUCGUUCAUUGUGAAAUGACCGUGAUGCCCCUAAAAUACAUAAAAUACUUAAUUAUAAUACAACACACAUAAUUAAAUCACAAGAGACUUAAAUACAUAAAAGUAGAGAUGUAAGUGAAACUUGGAGUGUAAAAUGACGAUUUUCUCCUUUAUACAUAUACACUUUCUAACACUCAACAUCCAUCUACAAAUCUACAAUAAUAACCAGCCAAUCCAAGGAAACUCCGAACCUCUGUGACAUUUGUAGGUCGUUCCCAAUUCACAACAACUUCGAUCUUGUGAGGAUCGACAUAAAUUCCUUCAGCUGAUAUCACAUGGCGCAGAAAUACUACUUUAUCCAACCAGAACUCACACUUGUUGAACUUGGCGUACAAUUGCUUUUACCUUAAAGUCUGCAAAACAGUUCGCAAAUGUUCUGCAUGUUCCUCUUGGUUUCGAGAAUACACCAAAAUAUCAUCAAUGAACACAAUCACAAACCUACCCAGAUAAGGGCGAAACACCCUAUUUAUAAGAUCCAUAAAAGCUGCUGGAGCAUUUGUUAACCCAAAUGGCAUCACCAAGAACCCAUAGUGUCCAUAAUGGGUUCUGAAUGUUGUUUUAGGUGCAUCGACCUCUUUAAUUCUAAGCUGAUGAUAUCCCGAGCGCAAAUCAAUCUUAGAAAACACCUUCGCUCCCUGAAGUUGAUCAAACAAGUAAUCAAUAUGCGUAAGUUGAUAUUUAUUACGUACUGUAACUUUAUUCAACUGCCUAUAGUCAAUGCAGAGUCUAAGAGUACAAUUUUUUUUCUUAACAAACAAAGCUGGAGCUCCCCAUGGAGACACACUAGGUCUAAUAAACCCUUUAUCUACCAAUUCUUGCAGUUGAAUCUUAAGUUCCUUUAGUUCAGCUGGAGCCAUCCUAUACGGUGCUAUAGAUAUAGGAGUCGUCCCAAGGACUAAAUCAAUAGAAAACUCAAUCUCUCUGUUAGGUGGCAUCCUUGGAAGUUCAUCUGGAAAUACAUCUGGAAACUCCUGGACUACUGGAAUAUCCUCCAAUCUCGACUCUCGAAUUUCAGUGUUUAUCACAUGUGCAAGAUAAGUUGAGCAACCUUUUCUUAGUAACCGUCUUGCACCAAUGGCCGAUAUGACACAUGAGGGUAAAACGCUACGCUCACAACAAAAUUUCACCUCAGCUUCUCCUGCCUUAUUGAACACAACUUCUUUUUUGGAACAAUCCACAGUAGCAUGGUGAGAUGCAAGCCAAUCCAUGCCCAAAAUGGCAUCGAAAUCUCGAAUAUCUAAAAUAAUUAAAUUUUCUGACACGACUCAAAAGUGUAUUACUCCCAAGUAUAAGAUUGUCUAGUUACAAUAUAACCCAGUGAGUCCGGGGUCGAACCACAGGGAAUUUUAAAAUCUAGUUGUCAAUUUGUUAAACAAAGAAAAUAAAUUGUGGGAAAAUAAAUUAUUUGAAAACAAUUUAAAAAUAUGCUAAGGUUACGGGAUCCACUCUCAGUAUUCAAACUAUAAUUUUAAUACUCUCUCAUUUAUAUUUUGCCUCACUUUUACCAGUUAAUUAUUAUAUCAUUUAAUUCUAUGUGUGUGGAUAAAUAUGGAAUAAAGUACCUAAUGUGCCACACUAUAUUAAUGUGUCAAUAUUGUGUCAAAAUGCCAUACAAAUCCUAAAGAAAUUUAUAAAUUAACAUGACAUAAAAAUAACUAGAAAAGAACAAAAUAAACUUUAAAACUCAUUUGAGAAAAUAAUAAAUUUAAUAGUUUGAAACAUUGAACUUCACCCUUCACCUCAGCUUAAUAAAAUUAGCCACUCAUAUUGAAAGAAAACACAACACUAUUUAUUUGAUAAACUUUUAAAAUAUGUUAUAAGAAAGUUGAUUACAACAAAAGAAGAAAAAGACACAAUUUCUCAGUUGCACUCUAUUCUAUUUCGGCUUAAUGUUGCGGACCGCCCAAUUCGCUAGCCCAAUUGCCCACAAUUUCGGGCUAGAGAGCCAACACAAGGCCAAGAGUGCUAGCUUGGCCCAAUUCCGGAAACUUCUAGGCAACUCUAGCACAUUUGAGCUUGUAAAUACUCUAGAAUUCUUCAUAGAAUUCCAGCACAUGUAAAUAGCUAGGAAAUGGUAGAAUUCUCUAGAAUUUCUAGAGCUUGGCAAGCCUCCCCUAUAAAUAUGGGAUGGCAUUAGGCAUUUGUAUCCAACAAACACUACAACAAGCAUUGUAAUCUCUCUUUGUGCAAUACAAUUUCUCUUAUUCAGCUCCAUUGCUUUCUUCUCUAGUUCGAGAAGCUCUAGGCUUACUUAGCAACAUUCGGAAAAAUUGUCUAAGUGCCGCACAGGUUAGCUGCGCAAAAUACUCAUCUCGUGACAAGUGGUAUCAGAGCUAAGGUUUGCACACACGCAAGUUAGCUCACGAGCAAUGGCCAACCCUUCGAACGUAGCACAAGAGGGUGUUGUUGGUGUGGAUGUUCCACCGGAACCAAGCCGCGGCCGAGAGGGAGAACGCGCCCAAGGCAAGACUCGCAGCAAGUCCAAGGCCCCAUCCGUGGAUGCAUUGGAGCCUCGUGUGACUACUCUCGAAAUCGCUUUGUCCACCGCUCAAGAUAGCCUCGAGGGAUUGGAGGAAAGGGUGGACGGUCUCGAGGGGGAAUACGCCGAGUUCACGGUGGCAACCAAAGCUCUCAUCCAAGAGCAAGCGAACACUCUCCGAGGUGAGUUUCGUUCCUUCCACGAUGAGUUGCUCAAACUUCGUAGUUUUGUUCAGGAUGAACUACGCGCUGUCCGUGCGGAAGUGGAUGAAGUCCGCUCGGAUUGGGCAUGGCACAAGCGCACACUCUCCGCUAGUCCAGCUUCCGCAAACUCGAGUGAUGCACGCCGCAUUGACGUGCCAAAGCCCGACACAUACGAUGGCACACGUAAUGCCACCAUCGUGGAUAACUUUCUAUUUGGGCUUGAUCAAUACUUUGAUGCCAUGGGUGUUCGAGAUGAGGCUUCGAAAGUGGGCACUGCACCCACCUAUCUUAGAGGCGCUGCACAACUAUGGUGGUGUCGCAAGCAUGGCGAGAUGGGCAAGGGCAUUUGCACCAUCGACACUUGGGCUGACUUCAAGCAAGAACUCCGAAAGCAGUUCGCCCCAAGCAAUGCGGAGAAGGAAGCGCGAGCGCGCUUACGUCGCCUCAAACAAACAAGUAGCAUUCGGGACUACAUCAACGAGUUCACUACCCUUAUGUUGGAAAUAAGCGACAUGUUCGACAAAGAUUCACUCUUCUACUUCCAAGAUGGCCUCAAGGAUUGGGCCAAGACCGAGCUUGAUAGGCGUGAUGUUCAGACACUUGACGAUGCCAUCGCCGUUGCGGAAUCGCUCACCGAAUACUCUACCCAAUCCAAGGACAAAAAGGCCAACCAAGGCAAAGGUGGGGGAGAGAGUCGCAAGGACAAGGGUAACAACCGCAAAGAUUGGGGGGCAGAAAAAGCCGCCUAGCAACAAGAGCGGGCAAGGAAAAUCGGAGGGCAAGAAGGAGGCGCCAAAGCCGCGAAGCCCAUGCUUCAUAUGCAAUGGUCCUCAUUGGGUACGCGACUGUCCGGAGAAAAGGUCGCUCAAUGCUCUUUCUGCCCAACUUAAGAGCAACCCCACAAUGUCCACGGAGGAACCCCAACUCAACAUGGGUUCUCUCUAACGCCUCGGCGCACUCAAUCGCCAACAGCCCGCACUCAUCAAGAAAGGGCUCAUGUAUGUAAGCGCAAAGGUAAACGGUCAGUCCGUUCGCGCGCUGCUAGACACGGGAGCUACGCACAAUUUCGUGUCCGUAGACGAAGCCAAGCGCUUAGGCCUCAAGACCACCAAGGAAGGAGGCACGAUGAAGGCUGUGAACUCACCCGCCAAGCCAAUUGGGGGAAUCGCACAAGGCGUGUACAUUACACUUGGUACGUGGAGCGGGAAGCUUGACUUCUCCAUUGUGCCCAUGGAUGACUUCAAGAUGGUCCUCGGCAUGGAAUUCUUCAACCAAGUCCAUGCCUUCCCGCUGCUCGCUACAAACUCCCUAAGCAUCCUCGACGGGAGCAAAGCAUGCAUGGUACCCACGGAGCGAGGCAAGUCCGAGGAGAAGACACUCUCCGCCAUGCAAUUCAAAAGGGCUUUUAAGAAGGACCCAAGCUUCUUGGUCUCCAUCCGGGAACUAAACGAGGAAGGAAAUAGCGGAACGUCACCAAGCCAAGUCCCUCCGCGAAUUCAAGCCGUCCUCAAUGAGUACAAGGACGUGAUGCCUCCAGAACUUCCGAAGAAGCUCCCACCUCGACGAGAGGUAAAUCAUGCGAUCGAGAUGGAACAAUGUGCGAAGCCACCAGCCUUGGCGCCCUACCGCAUGGCGCCACCCGAAUUAGAGGAGUUGCGGAGACAACUCAAAGACUUGCUGGACGCAGGCUACAUUCGCCCCUCAAAGGCCCCAUUCGGUGCACCCGUGCUCUUCCAAAAGAAAAAGGAUGGAUCGCUGCGGAUGUGCAUAGACUAUAGAGCGCUCAACAAGAUCACCAUCAAGAACAAGUAUCCAAUUCCCUUGAUCGCGGACUUGUUUGACUAGCUUGGCAAAGCGCGGUACUUCACCAAACUUGACUUGCGCUCCGGGUACUACCAAGUGCGCAUCGCCAAGGGAGACGAACCGAAGACAGCGUGCACAACAAGGGACGGGUCUUUUGAAUUCCUUGUGAUGCCUUUUGGCCUUACUAAUGCACCCGCCACAUUUUGCACGCUCAUGAACAAGGUGCUCCAACCAUUUCUUGACCGCUUCGUGGUCGUGUACUUGGACGACAUAGUGGUGUAUAACACCACGCUCGAGGAUCAUGCCCAACACUUGCGACAAGUCCUCCAAGUACUCCGAGACAACGAGCUCUUCCUCAAAUUGGAGAAGUGCUCAUUUGCUCAACAAGAAGUGGAGUUCCUUGGCCAUAAGAUUGCGGGCGGAAAGAUCAUGAUGGAGAACGUCAAAGUAAAAGCCAUCCUCGAUUGGGAGCCUCCCUCGAAAGUGCCCGAGCUUCGCUCAUUCCUUGGGCUGGUGAAUUACUACCGCCGCUUCAUCAAGGGCUAUUCGGCCAAGGCGGCACUCUUGACGGAUAUGCUCAAGAAAAACAGAACGUGGCAUUGGUCCGAAGAGUGCCAACGCGCAUUCGAAGAGUUGAAGAAGGCAAUUUCGGAGGAACCCGCCCUCGCUCUUCCGGACCACACUAAACCCUUUGAAGUCCAAACGGAUGCCUCGGAUUUCGCCGUAGGAGGAGUCCUUAUGCAAGAAGGCCACCCCAUAGCGUUCGAGAGUCGAAAGCUAAAUGACACGGAACGCCGCUACACGGUGCAAGAAAAGGAGAUGACCGCAAUCAUACAUUGCUUGCGGGUGUGGCGACAUUACUUGCUCGGCUCUCACUUCACGAUUAUGACAGACAACGUGGUGACAAGCUACUUCCAAACACAAAAGAAGUUGAGUCCGAAGCAAGUACGGUGGCAAGAUUUCCUUGCAGAAUUCGACUAUCAGCUCGAGUACAAACCGGGUAAAGCCAAUGUCGUUGCGGACGCUCUAAGCCGCAAGGCCGAAUUGGUGACACUUAGCAUGAGCCAACCGAAGUCCGACCUUGUCUCACGCAUCAAGGAAGGCCUCCAACAAGAUCCGCUAGCAAAGGACUUGCUGGAGAAGGUGCUCGAGAGAAAGACAAGGCACUUUUGGCAAGAGGAAGGCAUCCUCCUCACCAAGGGAGACCAGCUGUUUGUGCCAAGGUGGGGAAGGAAGUAAUCAAGGAGUGCCAUGACUCCAAGUGGGCUGGUCACCCAGGAAUCGAGCACACCACUGCACUAGUUCAAGCCUCAUAUUUUUGGCCACACAUGAGGGACGACAUCGAGGCAUAUGUGCGAACUUGUCUUGUGUGCCAACAAGACAAAGUGGAUCAUCAACUACCAGCGGGAUUGUUGGAGCCGCUACCACUAGCAACAAGGCCAUGGGAAAGUGUCUCCAUGGACUUCAUCACAUCGCUGCCCAAGUCCGAAGGUUACGGUAGCAUCAUGGUCGUUGUCGACCGAUACAGCAAGUAUGCCACAUUCAUUGCCGCACCAAUCAAUUGCAAAGCGGACGAGGCAGCCCGCCUAUUCGUCAAGCACAUUGUGAAGCUUUGGGGAGUUCCGAAGAGCAUUGUGAGCGACCGAGACCCUCGGUUCACUGGGCGUUUUUGGACAAAACUCUUCAAAAUGUUGGAGACCGAUCUCAAGUUCUCAACAAGCUUUCACCUACAAACGGAUGGGCAGACCGAGCGCAUCAAUGGCCUCCUCGAGAUGUACUUGAGGCAUUAUGUGAGCGCUCAUCAGCGGGAUUGGGCAAAGCUACUCGACAUCGCCCAAUUUUCUUAUAACUUGCAGCGAAGUGAGGCUACGGGCAAGAGUCCAUUUGAGAUCAUCAUGGGAUUCCAGCCUAUGACCCCCAAUGCCAUAGCCUCGACUUACGGAGGGAAAAGCCCCGCGGCACACAAGCUCGCUCGCGAAUGGCACGAGGAAGCGGACAUCACGCGAGCCUACCUUGACAAAGCCGCGAGGAAAAUGAAGAAAUGGGCGGAUACAAGGAGACGACAUGUUGAGUACAAGGAAGGUGAUCAAGUCAUGAUCAACCUCCUACCCCAACAAUUCAAGACGUUGCGGAAAGUCCACAAGGGGUUAGUGAGGCACUACGAGGGACCCUUCCGAGUUGUUCGACAUGUGGGCAACGUCUCGUAUCAACUCCAACUUCCGCCAAGACUCAAGAUCCAUCCGGUCUUCCAUGUGAGCCUUCUCAAGCCAUAUCACGAAGACAUGGGAGAACCAAGUCGCGGAGAAUCGAGGCGCGCGCCAACUGCCGUUGUCACCGCGUUCGACAAAGAUGUAGACUACAUCAUUGCGGACCGCAUGGUUUCGAGGAGAGGCGUGCCAGCACAUAGCGAGUACUUGGUGAAGUGGAAAAAGCUCCCCGAGAACGAAGCCACUUGGGAACGUGAAGAAGAUUUGUGGCAAUUCGCUGAGCACAUCCAGAGGUUCAAGCACGAGAGCGCGACGAGGACAUCGCGAGCUUAGGUGGGGGAGGAUGUUGCGGACCGCCCAAUUUGCUGGCCCAAUUGCCCACAAUUUCGGGCUAAAGAGCCAACACAAGGCCAAGAGUGCUAGCUUGGCCCAAUUCCGGAAACUUCUAGGCAACUCUAGCACAUUUGAGCAUGUAAAUACUCUAGAAUUCUUCAUAGAAUUCCAGCACAUGUAAAUAGCUAGGAAAUGGUAGAAUUCUCUAGAAUUUCUAGAACUUGGCAAGCCUCCCCUAUAAAUAUGGGAUGGCAUUAGGCAUUUGUAUCCAACAAACACUACAACAAGCAUUGUAAUCUCUCUUUGUGCAAUACAAUUUCUCUUAUUCGGCUCCAUUGCUUUCUUCUCUAGUUCGAGAAGCUCUAGGCUUACUUAGCAACAUUCGGCAAAGUUGUCUAAGUGCCGCACGGGUUAGCUGCGCAAAAUACUCAUCCCGUGACAUUAAGCUCUCUCUGUUCAGCUCUCUAACUUCUCAAUACUCAGCUCUUUGCAUUUCCUUGCCUUUUAUAGGCAAGGAAUGCAUUAUCUUUAUUUAUUUUAUUAUUAUUAUUAUAUAUAUGUACAUUGAAAUGUGUAAUGGUCAAGUGGCCAUGACCAUCACGAGAAACUAAAUUGCUUGGUUUUUUUUUUUUAUUCAUUUUCAUUUUUUUAUUUUUUAUUUUUUUACAUCUCCUCAAUAAUGCUUCCAAAUUGCUCCAGCAAUCCUUCUUUGUUCCCGCUUUCAAUUCUAAUUUAUUCUUGAAAAAUAUUUAUAAGAUAAAAAUUAACAGAUUAUGAAUUAAUUUAACACAAAAAUUUAUUUGGGGAGCAUUCAUAUAAUUUAUAGGUUAUGCGUGCAUUAAUCAACACUUUAAGUGAAAAACUAAUAAUUUUAUCCUUAUUACACGUACACAUUUUAGUGUUAAUCACAGCCCCCUCCCCAACCAGCUUAUUGUUAGGCCCUAGCAAUUUAAGCGAUAAAAAUUUAGAGAAAUUUCAAAACCAAAUUGAAAAUCUUUUUUUUUUUUUGGAAAAAUUGUGUUUACUUCUUUCAUCAGAUUAAUGACAACAAUCAAAUAAAAGUAUAAGUAUUAUCUUCAGCCUAAAGAAAAUCACACCCACAUAAAUCAGUUAAGUAAAAUCAUGUAAAAUGAUCAAUUAUCAGAGCUACAUUAAUCAAGCCACUUUAAGUAAAAUUUAUGAUGUUAUCAUUAUUAAUGUUUGGUCCACAACAGCGCGAUAAUGAUAUUGAUGUGUACUUGGCACCACUAAUAGAGGACUUGCAAACUCUAUGGGAUGUUGGUGUGGAAGCUUAUGAUGCCUACAAAAAAAUAGUUCUUUAAUUUACGGGCUGUGCUAUUGUGGACUAUAAAUGGUGGAAAGCUCAAUGAAGAUAUAAUCUAUGAUGAUUUGCGAAAUUAAAGGUCAAUAUAUGUUGUGUGCACUUAUUUAUGCUUCCAAAGAUUACCAAAAAUAAAUUGGAUUUGAGUUUAUAUAGUUUGAGCCCAAAAACUAGCCAUUAUGGAUUUUCUAAUGAUAACCGGCUUGCCGCUUUUGGAAUCCGGUUAGCCGCUUUUAUGUUACCGUUACAACAAAUAUUUGAAUUUUACAACAUCCAGCAUUCCACUUUCAAAAUUCGGUUAGCCUUUUGCAAAAGUGAUUGCUACAGUGAACUAUUUUAUAAAAUUAUAGUUUUGACCCAAAACUUUAUAGAAUUAUGAUAUGGCCCAAAACGUCAUAAAACUUUACACAAAGGUCUAAUAAAAAAUAAUUUGAGCUUUUAAAAACUUAAUCAUUCUUAAUUUUAUUUUUUAUCAUCAAAAUCAACAUUAUGGAAACAUAUAUGUUAACAAUCUUCCCAUUUUUUAUGACGACAAACCUUUUAUGUAUUUAAAGAAUGAUUACACAAAUUGCUCCCCCUAAAUGUAAACUUCUCUUACAAUUUAGCUAAAUUAACAAAUUUAAAUACAUGUAUUCUUCUCCCCCUUCAUCAUUAAAAAGAAAACUUAGUGGAAAAAUAAAAAAGAGUAACAAAUUUGUUAUAUAUGUUGUCCGAGUAGAAAUUUCGAUAGAAUCUCCCUCUAACAACAAACAUUACCUUAAAUACAAGUUUAAUAAUAUUACUCCCAAAUUAUUAUAAAUAAUGAUACAAUCCAACUCCAUAUACAAAUCAUCACACAAUCCAUCAACCAUAAAAAGAUUAUGAACCAUUAUUCCAUCAAUUACCAAAUCAACAACUCAUAACAUAAAAUUAUCAUAUAAAACAACUAUGUAAUCAAAUCAUCAUCAUAUCCCAAAAUCAUCAAAAUCAUCACCAUAAUCACAUAUCAAUCAUCAAAACAAUACUCAAAGUGCAUAUUAUUGUCUUUCUUUUGACAACAUCGAAAUGAUGUGUUACUUUGUCUCCCCCUUUGGACAACAAAAAAAUUCAAAAUGCAUAUUAUCCAAAAUCAUAUUGUAUGCUCCCCCUAAAUAUAUGGCCAAUUUAAAAUUUUAACCAAAAUAAUUUUAUCCAAAAACAUAUCAUAUUUAUCUCCCCCUUCAUUGUAAAAAAGAAAAGAUAGAUAGAUGCAAUCAAAACAAUAUCAUAAAAAAUAAUUCGAUGAAGAGAUUACCCAUUUUGUGCGAGCAAAAAUUUCGGCAGAGUCUCCCCUUAAAAAUGAAAAAAUCCUCAAAUACACAAAAUGGUUAAAAACACUUCCAUAUAAGCUUAAACAAUUAUAACAAAUCAACAACUCCAUCAAUUCAUCAAGCAACACACAUAAUCAUCAAUCAUUAAAAUCAUCAAGAAAUCAAAUCAUCCCAAGUUCGUGUCGAAUUUUUUAAAAAUGUUCUUCGCAAAAAGGUUUUGAUUUGUUUACCAAAUUGGCAUGCAAAAGUUAUAAAAACGUAUUAUAAACUAUCCAAGCUCCAUAAUUACUAAUCACAUUUUAGAAAUCAAGACAACUAAACUCAUCAAAGAUCUAAUGUGACAUUUCAAUAUAACUUAAAAAAUCUUAUAUGCUUAAAAUUCUCGAAGUAAAUGUAUUUUUCUCCUUUUCGAUAUCAUUUAAAACAAGUAAUGCACAUUCAACAAUACAUCGAUAAAGUACAAAAAAUGCAUCCAUUCACCAAUCAUAGAUUGCAUAAGAUCAAACUUCAUCAAAUACAAUGUAAUCAUCAAAGCACAUUCUUUAUCAUCAAAACAUAAGUAAAGCAUAAGUACAUAAUGACAAUAUAUAGAUCAUCAAAAUUAACAUAUGGCAAUAUAUAGAUCAUCAAAAUAAACAUAGCUAUUAAGAAAAGCCAUCAUUAUGAGUAAAGAACAAGUGCUCAAAUCCAUUAUUACAAAUGCUCACAUAGGCCAAUUUAAUGAAUGAUGAUAUAAUACAAUAAAUGACAUAUGAAUUCACACAUACAUAAGUGAUGAACAAAUAAGGAAGAUGAAUAAAUAACACGAAACAUGAUGAUAGACAAUUUAAAAGAUGAAAUCAAGGAUCAUACAAUCAUCAAAAUCAAACAAAGGCAUCAUGAUAAGUUGCCAUACUACCAUCAUAUAUAUCUAUCCAUGCAUCAUGAUUACACACAAUAAUAAUUCAAUUAUGUAAACGUACGAGCAUGCUUUCGUAAAUUCAAGCUAUUAUCCAUCCAUCAUGAUCCAUUCAACCAAAUCAAAAUGGUAAGAAUUGUUACCAAAACAAUUAAAUCAUUUUACUUAUCGUUUUCUCUUAGAUCAUGAUCAAGUGAUUAUUCUCACAAGCUUUCAUUGAAGAACUCUCCACCAUUUCUUGAUUAUGGUACCUACAAAAAAAAAUAUUCUAGUUGUGCCUUUUGAUACCCAAAUACUCUUGGGUCUUUGAGUGUUAGUAAUGAUUCCUUUUGGAACUCCAAUACAUUUUGCUCCAUAAUAUGCAUUUCUUUUAACUGGACACCUAUUCUUCAUGUGACCAUUUUGAUUGCAAUGGUGGCAUACAACUUGAUUGUUAAUGGAGGUACUCUUCACAAAAUAAUUCUUAUAAUACUUUUGUUUCAAAUUUGGCUUAUAGCCAAUACCUCCUUUGUCAAACACACAUUUUUGUGAAUUAAGCAAGUUAUCCAACAUUUUUUGCCCAUUUGUAAAUUUUAAGACAACAUCACUAAGUUCAAUAUUCUUUUUCUUAAGCAUCUCAUUUUCUUUUUUCAAAUCAUCUACAUGUGAUUCUAUAUGUUCAUGUAAAGUGCUAGGUUUCCCAUUUGAUAAUGCAACUCUAUCAUGCAAUGUUUUAUUUUCUAAUUCUAGGCAACUAAUCUUUGCACUUAGAGAUUCAUUUUUAUUUGUGAGUUCUACCGUUUUCUUUUUAAGACAUGCAUUCUUUUUACCAACUUUCAUCAAUUCAUCAUACAAUUCUUUAAGAGCAUCAUAUAACUCAUCAUAAGUAGGAAGAUUAUUUACCUCAUCAAGUUCAUCAUCUCCUAUUGCCAUAAGUGUUAGGUUUGACACUUCUUGGAAAUCUUCUUCAUCACUCGAUUCUUCAUCGCUAUCGUCCCAAGUAGCCACCAUGGCUUUCUUCUUGAGUUUGUUGAGAAGUGGAACACUCCAAUCUUAUAUGGCCAUGCUUUUUGCAUUCAAAACAAACAAUUGCCUUUUUAUUCCCUUUCUCCACCUUAAGGUUUUCUCUCAUGAGAUCUUUAAAGUUUCUUCUCUUGAUUUGCUUUUUAAAGAUCCUUCUAAACAUUCUAGCAAUCAUCUCAAUGCCUUCAUCUUUAAAGUUACUUCCAUCAUCAUCACUUUCAACUAUAGAAGAUUUAAAAGCAAAACUCUUCUUCUUUUUAUCUUCAUCAAUUCUUUCAUUAGUUAUAUCUUCUUCAUAUGAAAUAAGUGAACCAAUAAGAUCAUCAAGUGAUAAAGUAUUAAAACUUUUUGCUUCUUCUAUGUCCGUUCUCUUUGGUCUCCACUAUUUUGGCAAUGAUCUAAUAAUUUUUUUUUUACUUUUUUCACUAUUAGUAAAUAUGUUACCUAGUGCUUCAAGAGAAUUCACAAUAUCGAUGAAUCUAGUGUACAUAUCAUGAACACUCUCAUAUGAUUCCAUUUGAAACAUCUCAUAUUGCCUAGUGAAUCUACUAAUUUUACACUCCUUGACUUGAUUUGUUCCCUUAUAUACAACUUCAAGUUUCUUCCAAAUUUCAUAAGCAUUUUCACAACUAGAAACUCUAUGAAAUUCUUUCUUAUCGAAAGCACAAAAUAAUGCAUUCAUUGCCUUGGAGUUUAACGAUAUCUUUUUCUUUUCUAAUUCACUCCAAUGACUUGAAGGUUUUGGAAUAUCAUCUCAUGCUUCAUUUUUAGUCAUAGGCAUGAACGGACCAUCACAAAUAACUUCCCAAAUUUCGUAAUCUAAGGCUUGCAAAUAAAUUCUCAUCCUAGUUUUCCAAUAAGGAUAGUCAUUACUAUUAAAGAAUGGAGGUCUAGUGGUAGAUGGGCCUUCCAUGAAGGUUGAGCUAAUUUGGGUUGCUAUGGAUCUUUAACUCUAGAAGAUUAAGUCUACACAAGAGCACCUCGCUCUGAUACCAAAUGAAAUACUAACUAGGCAACCUAAGAGGGGGGUGAAUUGGGAUUUUAAAAUUUAAGUUAAGCAAACCACACAACAAUUUAAUCUAAUGCCUUAAUGGAAUAAAAAAUAAUAAAUUCAAUACAGCACAAUAAUAAGAGAGUAAGGGAAGAGAAAACAAACACAAUGAUUUUUAUGUGGUUCGGGAAUCCUCGCCUACGUCCAUGCCUCCAAGCUCACCCGACUUGAGGAUUUCACUAUCCAAGCCUCCCAAGGCUUCAAGUUCUUUACAAUUGACUUUCAAUGUGUCAAUGGACCUUUCCAAUCAAGAGAUUAUCUCUCCAAUCUCUUCACCUCAAGUGUUUCUCACAUUUAUACACUCACAAUUUAAUGUGAAAUGAAAAUUACAACAAACAACUCUCUUUUAGAGUGGAUAUACAAAUGAUAGCUUAAUGAAGAUUUAAUCUAUGAUGAUUUGCAAAAUUAAAGGUCAAUAUAUGUUGUGUGCACUUGUUUAUGAUUGCAAAGAUUACCAAAAAUGAAUUGGAUUUGAGUUUAUAUAGUUUGAGCCUAAAAACUAGACGUUAUGGGUUUUCUAAUGAUAACCGGCUUGCCGUUUUUGGAAUCCGGUUAGCCGUUUUUAUGUUACCGUUACAACAAAUAUUUGAAUUUUACAACAUCCGACAUUCCGUUUCGAAAUCCGGUCAGCCGCUUGCUACAGUGACUGCUACAGUGAACUAUUAUCUAAAAUUAUAGUUUUGACCCAAAACUUUAUAGAAUUACGAUAUGGCCCAAAAUGUCAUAAAACUUUACACAAAGGUCCAAUAAAAAAUAAUUUGAGCUUUUAAAACUUAAUCAUUCUUAAUUUUUUUUGUUAUCAUCAAAAUCAAUAUUAUGGAAACAUGUAUGUUAACUGUGAGCACAUUAAAUGGCUAACGGGUCAUCAUUCACAAAAAGCCAAGAAUGAGAGAUGGUUGAGCAAUGAUCACAACUGCCACUUUUCAACUUGCCUUAAUAAAAAGGUUAAUAAUAUAUGUUCCAUUAUAUAUUCUUUUUAGUAAAUCUAUUGUCAUGUUUAUACAAUUAUUCAUUCAUUAUGAUUAUUAUUAUAUAGGUAUAUGAGAUCAUAGAUGAUGAUGAACAUGUCUCAGACACCUUGAGGUGGUUAUCUCAAGGACCCCGUCCUUUUGUAGUUAAGCACCCAGGAUAUGACAUCAAUGGAUAUCGUUUCCAUACUCGGGAACGAGACCAACAAUGAGUUCAUCAAAAUAAUGGAGUUAGUCUUAUUGCAGCAACUUUACAAGUAGCAAGUGUCAAGGACAAAAAUCCUAUCCUUGGUGACAUGUCUUACUAUGGAGUUAUUAACAAAAUAUGGGACCUUGACUAUCAUAUGUUCAGAAUCCCUUUGUUCAAGUGUGAUUGGGUUCAAAAUAAUGGGGAUGUUAAAAUCGAUGAAUUUGGCAUCGCUUUAGUGGACUUAAAUCGCUUGGGACAUAAAUCAUACCCAUUUAUAUUGGCUUCAAAAGCAACACAGGUCUUUUAUGUCACUGAGCAACUUGAUAAAAGAUGGUCAGUUGUAAGUCAUAUGGAGGUGUUCCAAAAAUGACAAGUGCUGAGGAUAUAGAUAUCAUGAUGGAACAUAAUCCUUUGACCAAUGGGUUACCAACUAUUGAAAAUUUAAAUGAUGCGGACAAAUAUGCAAGAGAUGGCAAGCAUAGAAUCUCGAUUGAUGCUUGGAAAAGCUGAUGGCAUUCACUGCUUGUAUGUCUUAUAAUAGUUUUGUGUUACAUUAUCUUUUAUUAUUAUAUGUUCCUUGUAUUGACUUUAGAUUAUUAUUUUUCAUUAUUUAUACUUUACAUAAUGUUCUAAUAUUAAAUGUGGAUUCAUUGCAGAAGCAACCUUAUGGAUAAAGGAAAAGGACUUGCUGAUGAACACUCUAAUGAGGAAAGUAUUGAUUAAUCGGGUAAUAAAGAAGUUCCUGAUGAAGGUAAUUCAAGUGAUAAGGAGGUUCCUGAUGAGUUUCCUAAUUCAGAGGAUCAAAAUGAUGUUCCAAAGAGUAGUUCCACUGUGAGAGAACCAACUAAAAACUCUGGCAAGAUGAGGAUGAGUGGUGGGAAGAUUGUAGUCAGGUACAAUGGGCUCCUUGUACUUGUUGGCACUGAAUCUACUGAAUUAGCAAGCUUUAUUAGGCUUUAUACUUCUAUUCCGGAUAUUAAACAAGAAUGAAAAAAGGUUACUCCACAUUUAAAGAGCCAUUUGUGGGAGUUUAUAAAGGUAAAAUGAUUAUUCAUAUUUAUAUCUUAGAAUUAAAUAAUGUAUAUGUUAAACUAUUUGAUCAUUAUGCUAUGUAUUUUUCUUAGGAACGUUUUAUUGUUCAUCCAAAUAGUAAGAAGCAAUUUUUUCAAGCACUUGGUAGUGCAUUCAGAAGCUUUAAGUACUUGCUCACCAGAAAGUAUAUCUUGCCACACAAGCACAAACGUAAAAGGUUGAAGAGGCCACAUUUUUCAGUACAGUAAUAUUCCUCAAAAUGUUUGGGAUACAUUUGUGAAUUCUAGAUUGCCCACUGAGUUUGAGGUGAAUACUUUUAAAUGUUAAACAUUUAGGUAUUUCAUAGAACCAUCUCUUAAAUCUAAUUAAGGACUGUUUUAUGCAGAGAAUUAGGCGUCAACAGCAAAAUAAGAGGGCUAAGAACAAGUGGAACCAUCGUUUAAGUAGAAAAGGAUAUGCUGGAUUGCUUGAUGAAAUUGUAAGUAAUAUGAUACUAACUUGACCAUUCUUGUAUAGCUAUUGGUAUAGAGAUGGUUGGUUUGAUGAUGAUAAAUUGGUAAACCUUUUGUUUUAAUUUUCUGCUUAUAAUUUGUGGUUAGUUAAGGAUGCAUACCAGCUGUGACAUUAUUAUUUUUUUAAACUAUAAUGCUCGGAAACUAGACUUGUCGAAACUGAAGUUGACAGGAGUGUAGCAUAGAAGCAUGCUAGGAAGAUGAAAAAGGUGAAUAUGACCCUAAUGUUGAAUCAGUUGUGAAGAAGAUUGUAAGUAAUAGCAAGUUUUUUUUUUUUCAAUUAGGCUCUAUUGGAAAGAAUUUGAUAUUCAUCAAUAUGAUUAUUAUACAAUUAGGAUGCACUGAAGGAGAAAACUAAAAAAAGGAGAAUUUAAAGCAAAUGUAAGAAAUGAUAUUCUUGCAAGUUCAAUUGGAAAGCCUGCCACUUCUGGACAUAUGCAGGGUGUUGGGAAAUUUAUAUCGCCUAAGAUGUACUUUGACACCCCAAAAAAUUCAUUUCAAAUGCGACAAGAGAGACUAAACAUACUAGAGAGGUUAGAUAAGCAAGAAGUAGGGUUGAGUGAUCUGAAGAAGAAGAUUAAAAAGUAACCUCGACAUUCAGAUGUUGGAAGCUCAAACUUUCCAUUACAUGAGCAAACAAUUGAAGAUGAAGCUGAAGAAAUGACUACUCAUAAUGAGGACAAGGUAUGAUACAAAUUGUUAUGCACAAUCAAGUUAAAAAAAUGACUUAAACAUUUGAUUUUAGACAAUUUUAGUCGUAAUCAAAAUCGUAAUUACAAUUUGUUUUUUUUUUUUGGCUUGUUAGUGAAUCGGCAUGACAAGGAAUGGAUCACCUGCAAAGAAGGAGCAUGAAACACUGACAAAGAAAAGGCAAUCACCAAAGAAGAUGAAUGAGUUACCAAAGAAGCAAGUAGCUGUUGAUUGUCCUGGAGACAAACCAGAAAGUACAAAGAAAAAGCAAUCAACAAGGAAGAAGAAGAAAUCACCAAAGCAGCAAGUGAUUGUUGAUUGUCCUAGAGACAAGCCAAAAAGUUUUAAGAAAAUGCAAUCACCAAGAAAGAAGAAAGAAUCACUAAAGCAGUAAGUGAUUGUUAAUUGUCCUAAAGACAAACCAGGCAGUCCAAUGAAAAGGCAAUCACCAAGAAAGAAGAAGGAAUCACCAAUGAAGCCUCACAAGAAACCAAGAAUGACUUUUGAAAUUUCAGGAGACAAACCAUCCAAUCCAAAAAAGAAGACAUCACCAAAAAAAGCCUCAAGAAAAGCCACUGUCAAGAAGAAGAACAAGGAAUUAUCAUACUGUGUAUAUGAACUGAGUUCUUGGGAUUGUAAUAUUUGGAAAUAUUUUUGAAACGAGCAUGGCUCAAAUAGGUUAUUACGUACCUUAUCAGUUGGAUAAAGACCAUUUGGGUUCAUACACACAGGACUCGUAUCAUCAGCCCAUGAUAAGGAUGCCUUUACUACAAGGGUAAAAAGGACACAAUUUAUUGCGGAACAGUUGAACAAAGCAAACAAAGGACAAAUGAUUUUCAUGCCAUAUAACCCUGGGUACAGUUCUAUUUACUUUCCAUUGAUGAUCAUUUACUAAAAUUGAUUCAUAAUUUCAAUUUCUUUGUGUAAUAGUUUCCAUUGGGUGUUGAUUGUAAUUGAUAUGACGACAAAGUAAGCAUUUUAUCUGGAUUCUAUGAACAACGAUUUAGGCGACGACAGUGACCUGAAGGACAUAGUUACCAAGUACGGUGAUAUUGUAUUUCUAAUAUAAUUUUAUAUAUCAUGUUUAUUUACUAACUACAUGUAUUGUAAUGUAGUGGGAUUUCAAUGCAUGUUGCGAUGAUUGGUAAAAAAAGGGUGAAACCAUAUAUCAAAAAAGUUUUGGUAAGCAAUUGUGACUUUUUUUUUUUUUUUUUGCAGCCCAUGACUUGUUAAUAUUUUAUCACUUGAAAGAAUUCAUAUGCAUAUGUAUUAAUGAUUAUUCUGUUGAUGAUAUAGUCCCCAAAUCAACCAGGGAGUACUGAGUAUGGAUACUAUGUGCUGAGGUUUAUAAAAGACAUAAUUGCAGACCCGAGUUUACUUCUCCAUAAUGUAAGUACACAUUCUUUCAUAUGCAUUGUAGGAUUACUUCACUUAUUACCUUUUACUAUAUAUAGUUUACUUUAGUCUGACAUGUGAUCAUCAUUUGACAGUUUAAAGGCAAAUGUGAAUACACUCAUAGUGAGCUUAAUGAAGUGCGUCUCGAGUAUGCUUCCUUUGUGUCUGAGCUGAUAGUAUUAGCAGUAGAGUUGAUGAUGUAUAUUUUUCUGAAGUUCUAAUUAUUAGUGGUAUUAUGGUAGUAUUUUGAAUUUCUAAGUGGUAGUGAAUUUAAUAAAGUCUUUAUGGAAUUUCAAAUUCCUUGUUACUAGAAGAUGAUAUUGUUUUGUUCCAAAACUAAGAUGUUUAUCAGCCUGGUAGUGUAAGAUCUUGAUCAGCCUUGUAGUGUUUCAGAUGAUAUAUAGUGUCGUGAUGUUUUUGUAUGCUGGUAAUGAUCUAGAUGGUAGUGUUGGGAUGUAUUAUUGUGAUAAUUGAAUAGAUGAUGUUUUGACAAUGUUAUGGUUAUUUCAAGUGAUGUUUUGAUGAUAUUGUUGAGAUAAUUUUGAUGUAUUGAUUUUAUACAUAUUUUGAUUUUUAAAUUUCAAUAGAAUUUAUAAAAUUAUAAAAUAAUAAUAUUAAAAAUAUUAUUAUUUAAAAUAUUAAAAUUUAUUUUCUAAUUUAAAAAUAUUAAAAAUUAUUUAAAAUAUUAAAAAUUUCUAAUUUAAAAUAUUAAAAAUUAUUUUAAUAAUAUUAUUAUUUUAAAAAAAUUCUCAUUGUGACACCAUAUUAACAUCAUAAAGCUGCGACACAUAAUUACCUGCCAUAAUUUAAAGUUGAAUUCAUAACACCCACCAAAAGUUUUUUCACAAUAAAACAAAUUUACCACCAAAAUAUUAAAACGACAUCACUUUUUUUGUGACACAUUUGUGAUAGUUAUAAGUUGUCACAUACUCUUGUGAUAGAUAAAUUAAUGUCACAGAUUUAUCACAGGGGCUACAAUGACAAAUAGAAACUCUGUCAUAAAGAGGGUCGGAUGACGGAUAUUCUCUGUCAUGGUAGCCCAUUUUUCUAGUAGUGAUUCAUGAUUUUCUUAAGAUUUUACAUCAUCUUGGCUUUAUGCAUUUAAUGAGUAAGACUUUAUAUCAUCUUAGCUUUAUGCAUUUAAUGAGGGAUAAGGUUUACUAUAUCCCCUAAUUAAUUGUGUUAAUUCUAUUAUUUAUAGAAUUUUCAUUUUAUGGCAAGUCUAAUAAAUUAAAAUUUUAUUUACUGAAUAUCAUGUAAUAGGUUUUAAUUUAUUAAAUUCCUAACUAAUUUAUUGAAAUUCCAAUUUAUUAGGAAUAUCGUUUCCUAGUUUAAUUAGAUGUCUAAUUUAGCAAGUUAAUUAGUGAAUGAAUUUUAUAAUUGGUGCGUAUGAUUUAUUUAGAGGAAAAAAUUGGUUUAAACAGAAAGUUUAUUAAAUGCUCUAGAUAUUUCUUAGAAGACAAGUAAAGCAAGCAUAUCAUAUUUAUUCCUAUUUAGAUUUAUAGGAAUUAUAAGAGGAAAUAAACUUUUAUUUAGAAAGAAUCCUAGUCUUUCAACUACAGUCUUAAUAAAGUUUUUCACAUCAGCCUCAUAGUCAUCAUACAAUAUAUCAAUUUUUUAUGGGUACAAUAUAUCAUAUUUAAGCCAAGAUUUAUCCAUUUUUUGUUUAGUACCUGACAUAUAAUUGACAUAAAUUUCAACAUAAUGUACUAAUGGUUUGCAAUGAUAAAUUGUUUCCAUUAUCAAUAAAAUUAAGCAACAAAACAUUAUUAAUAUUUAGUUUAUAAAUUUAAUGAAAUAAAUAAAUUUAAAACCAAAACUCGUCAUCACGUGCAACAAAUAUAACUUCACCAACGUGCUGUCAUCGUUUACCAAAACCUCUAACUAACAAUACCCACUAAUAACAUCCUAAAUAAUUUAGGCCACAUAUUUUAACAUUUAUUUAAAAAAAAUUUCUAACGAUCCAGCAUUUCAUGGACCACAAGACUAUCCAGCAUUUCAUGGACCACAAGACUAUGUAUACAUAUAUAAGCAACUAAACGUUCCUUGGUCCACAUGACCAAACUUGCCCCCACAUGGUACCAUUUCUUUCAAACAUAAAAAAGACAAUUGAAAAAGGGGUCCUCACUUUUCAACUCAAUAAAAUACACUAGAAAUUAUUAUCAAGUUUCCAAAUCUAACUCACAAUCAUUAAAAAAAAAUAUAUCAACGCCAUUGGACCCUAGUUUUGGAUCCAUCCCAAUAAAACACACUAGUCAAUGAAAAGUGCUAUAUCAUCAAGAAAAAUCAGUUCACAUAUAUGCAAAUUUUGACUGAAAAAUUACACAAUAUAACAACAUUCAGACAAACCAUUGCCAGCAAGCAUUUUUUAAACAUUGAAUGGAAAGGCAAGUAAAGAAUUGAACAAACCUGAUGUUAGAAAUCGAAUUCGAAAGGGAACAAAGCAGUGAAGUCCUGCAACUCAGGAAAAAAAUUAAAAAAAAAAGGACAUACUAAAUUAAAUGAUUGAGCAAUUUCUAGAUUUAAUAAAAGGACAAAGUAUAAGCUUCUUGAAUUAAAAAAAUAACCAAAGAUAACAGAAAAACAAACAAGAAUUAAAAAAAUAAAUAAUAAAGAUAAACCAUUCAUGAUAGAAAUCCCCCCAAAAAAAGGGCAUAAAUUAUGAACAAAUAAGGGAGAUAACAACAAAACUGACAAUUAAUCUUAUAAUGCCCAACUAAUUUAUUCAAAAUAAAAAAUAAAAAAGCUAAUUGACAAUAAAUCUAAGGAUUCGGUAAUUACAAGGAUGGCUUCUUGAUAACUCUAUGAAAUAAGAAUUAUCAUGGCACUUUUAAACUUAAAUCAAUAAUACUUAGAGAGUAAAUAAUGUGUUUUCAUUGCAUUUUUAUUAUAUUUUGCAUAAACAUUCAUCUUAGUUUAUUCGUAAUAAAUAUUUUUUGAUUUAGAAUAAUUUAUAUGCUAAAUCAUAUGCAUAAUUGUAGGUGUCCAGAAGCUCAAAUUUCAAGAAAAGAAUGCUGAUGCAAUAGGCUUGCAAAAGAUGGAAAAUAACUUAGCUACAAAAGAAUUGAAACAAAUCUGGACAAUGCAGUUGCUGUAGCCGUUGCUGUAGCAAUCCUGGAACAACGACAAAGAAAAUUUUGUUCGGGAUACUUGCAGAAUUGCGAUCUGCAGUUUCCUAACCUGACUUAUGUGCGCCCUAGACUUCCGUUUACCCUAAUUUUCAACUAUAAAAAAAGCACACAUCAUAAGGAAUAGGGGGAGCCGUCACCCAAGGAGAAAAACACAUAGAAACAAAAGAAAAACAAGAUUCAAGAGAGAGAUUAAGGGCUGCACAAGAGGAAAAAUUGCAGAGAUCAAUUGGGAGCUCAAUCUUUCUUAUCCUUUUCUUGUUUUCAUGUUCUCUAUUUAUUCAUGGGGAUGUGUUUCAUGGCCGAAACUUUGUUCUUUAUUUUUCUUUUGCAAAUCAUGAACUAAAUUUAUUUGAAUUGUUGGUUUAUUGACUGAAAAUAUGAGUUGUUGCAUGUUUGUUGUAGCAUUUUGUUUUGAUAGCAUUUAUUUUUAUUCAUUAUUUCGGUUGAUCACCCAUUUAAUGAUACAAGUUAGGAGAGAGCCACAAAAGGGCCUAUCUUAGUGGAACAUAUCAGAGAAAUACUUGGUUUUAGAUUGGGUUUACUGGAUUGAGUUUAAUUUAUCCCAAAAGGGCCAUGCUUAAUCUAAAAUUAGUGAUGAACUAGACAUAGGGAUUCACUUUGUAGGGUAAAUAGAACCUAAGCGUGUAAUGUUAUAUCUUAUGUGGGCAUAACAACUGAUCACUGUUAUGUUGCAUAUAGAUAUAAGAUAUCCUACAUGCGAUGGCUGAGGAUACAUAAGGAUUCUACCCAAUGCUGUAGCAACUGAGCCAACCAUUAGAAAAUAGUCAAGACCAUUAGGAGAGUUUAUUCACUCAACUACUCUAUAUUUCCAUUGGUUUUAUCCUUGAGUUUGACGUGAUAAUUUACUUUGUUGCAUUUAUUUAUUGUGUUUUUAUUUUAAUUAGUAUAUUAAUUUCAUUAAUUAUUUUAUCUUAAUUUAAAACAAAAUCUGCACUGUUAAGAUUGUUGUAGCAAGUAUGAUAACAUCAAUCCCUGUAGAGACGAUCUUGAAUACUCAUCACUUUAUUACUUGUUGUGUACACUUGCACAUUGACACUAAUAGCAUUUGAAUUCAUACCAACACUUCUCCACCGCCAAUUAAACAAUGCAAAGAAAUAGUGACAACGAUGACUUCAACAGUGAACGUGUUGAUGGAAGGCGCAACAAUGAGUAUAUAUGGUGAUUUUGUGCUUAAAAAUUUAUAAUGAAGUGGUUGCUUCAAUAGCAUAUACAAUGAUUUUGGUUUCCAUGCAAUGGAUUUCAAAACCAAUUUUUAUAUUAAAGUAGGGCUUGUUAAUUAUGGAUUUUGAGGGGUUUCAAUGGUGAGGUUUCUCAGCCCUCGCCGAUGGAGUGAUGAAGUCAGAGGAGCUGAAGUGUUUAUUAACACUUAGAAUUUUCUUGUAGUUUAAAGUCUAUAGUAAACAACAACGUUUAGAAGUUAAAUAAAUAUUUUUAUUUUUAAAAUUUUUUAAAUUAUGAAAAAUCAACACGGUGCCGUUUCAUGCCCAAAUUGAUAUAUCCUAAACUCACAGUUUCAUUAAAUAUUAAUAUGCUAUCAUAUUUAUAUGAUAAAUAAAAACUCUAUCACAAAUUUGUCAUGCCUUUAUGAUGUAUGAAAAUUCUGUCAUGUGUCUAUCAUAUUCUUGUGAUAAAUGACCAAUUUUCUAAUAUCUAUCACAAAAAUUCUGUCAUGUUAGCCCAUUAUUCUAGUAGUGAGAUAUUUAUCCAACUGGAUUACAAAGUAAUUGAAAUUAAUUGUAACACCUAUGGCCAAAACUUGGACCCAGUGUUAUUUUAUAAUCAAAAUUGAAACCUAUAGUUACAGUCAGCUUGAAUCUGAAUCAAAUGAGCAAAGGGGGGCAAUUGCCUUCUCUAAGCUCUAACCAUGAAACAAUAAUCAAAUCGUCAGACCUCUAAAAUAAGCCAAUGAAACAUUACUCACAAACCCAUCGAUUAACAUCUUUAAAGCUUUGGCACUGAAACUUAAACGAGCGUUUUGUGUUAAAUAGUAUUGAAAGUAAACACAGCAGCAAACUUAAACGAAAAAGUAUUGUCAUUCAUUGUGUGAAAAAUUAUGCGAAAUUCUGAUAUUUUACGUCGAUCUAUCCAAAUCCAAGCAGGAAAAUGAAUGCUCGAGCAAUAUUCAAAUAUCAAAAGAGCAUAUUUUCAAAAUUAAGUUAGGAAAAAAAAUUUCAGUAUCAAUUAUCAUCAACGGGUUCUUGAUGUUAAGAAUAAGCAUUAACAUGAGCUGCUCAGGUCGGCUGAUGAAUCAGCAAGCUGUUAAGCAAUAUGCUGAGUCAUCAGCCACGUCAGCAGUCAGUUACGGAGGCUGUUGCUUUGCUUAAGAAGCCUCUGGAUAUGUAUAUAUAAACCCCUGUAAUCUCAGUUCAUUUUGUAGCUUAAUGAAAUGAAUUUGGCUCACUAUUCUUCUAUCAAAACUUUUAGUAUUUUCCCUUCACUUUCUAGGCAAACAAACACAGCAACAUCUUUUAACUGUUGAAAUCUUCCAGCUCCGGUGCAAGCCUCAGUCACAAUGUAUUCACUCGAUGGCACAUCUUCACCCAGACUUUUCGGUAAAGUGAAUUAAAGCUUUCAGAAUGAUAGAAAGCAAAUGCAUGAGCCACGAAGAUCUGGAAGAAUGCCAAAGCCAAACCCUAAGUAUACUACUGAGAGCAUGAGUUGACUCCCAUGCAAGCCAUGCAUGAGACAUGCAUAUGCAGAUAUUGUGAAGAUAAGUGCUGGAGCCGUGAGAACAUGAGUUGACUCCCAUGCAAGCCAUGCAUGAGACAUGCAUGUGCAGAUAUUGUGAAGAUAAGUGCUGGAGCCGUGAUCUGGGGAUAACCUUAUCAACGAUUGUGCAACGAUUAAAGGGGAAGCUAAGACACGGAAGUUGUUUUCGAUUAUCUUUCUGUUUCGAAAUAUUAGCUAAGUUGUUAUUUUAAUAUUUGUUUUAUUGAUUUCAGCCGUGAUUGUGGGUUGAAAAUCAAAGUCUUGUUAUUAUAAAUAAGCUCCAGAAUAUGAAUAAAGGCAUUGAGAAUUCAAACUACAAUUAUUUGGUUAUUUCUCACCAUAAGCAGAAAAAUAUCACUAGCAUUAUUCGUAAUCAUUGUCUGCAUCUGACUGGGACCUAACACAGAACGAUACAUAAAACUUUAAAUUGUUCCUGUAACACACAGAAAGUCUUUAGUUCGGUAUCGUAAAUUCAAUUUCUUAUAAUCUCAUUAAUAUACUUUUUGAAUUUUAUUGUGAUCUUCAUUAGGCGUCAAUUUUUAUUUUUCAUUUAAAAGAAAAAGCACUUCCGGAGUCAUUGUAAGAUCUUUUUCUGUGUAAAUAUCUUUUUCUUUUAAUUUAAAAUUAGAUAUAUCAAACUUAUUCAUCGGGGUUUUGUUACAUUUCCUUUUAUUUUCAAUAAUUAAUUUGUUAUCUAAUUGGUCAAUAAAUUUGCUUCUUGUUUGUCCAGUACACUAAUAUAGAUGCUGUUCAUUAGAAGCAGACACAUAGCUGUAAAUUAUUUCUUAGGUUUUGAGAUAGGAAUGACGAAGGACAGAUGCAGGGGCACUGUUUUAAGUCAACCAAAGUUAAAGAUGAUUCGAACUCAUAGUUCUUGCAUAAAAACCUUUGUUAGCUUUACUUUUGUUGUCAAAAUUAUUAUUAUUAUAAUUUUUUUAAUGGUAGAAGUAGAACCUAAUCCCUCACAAUUAUCAAUUAAUACUAUGUUAAUUACCAAACACUAUUAUUUUUUUAUUCAUACCUAGUAGUGAUUUAAAUUUGAAAAGCGACAAAACCAUAAACCAGUUUUUAAUAUAUAAUAAACCAGUUUACAUUUAUUUUUUUAAGGAGAAAUGUAAGGAUCCUUUUAAUAAAAAAAAACCAUCAACAUUAAAAUGAUAGAAUUAGAAACGAAAAUCACAACAACAUUACAAUUGCAUUCAGUUUCUACGUAUCCUCCUCCUCCUUGUUGCCUUUUGCUGCGUUCCCAACUUCUCCAGAAUCCAUCCGAUAAUUCCUGUGCUGAAGUUGAACCCGAGAACCAAUCCUGCCACAAGUCCGCCCGCAUAGCCAAUCAGAAUGAUUUUCCAAUCAGAUGCGCCCGAAAACAGAGACUUCUCCGACCUUUAAGUAUGAUCUUCAAUUGUUGGAGGUUCACCACUCUCACAUUCUUUGGACAAAGGCCUUCCACAAAAUCCUGAGUUGCGGUCCAAAGAAGUGUUGUCAAAUGUAGCAAAUUGCUUUCCUUGUGGUAUAAGCCCUGCAAGGCAAUUGUCCGAGACAUUGAAGAAUGCGAGAAAUGUGAGCUGAACCAGUUGUUGAGGAAUCUGUCCUGAAAACUUGUUAUUUGAGAGAUCCAAUGAUUCCAAAUUUGUUAGAUUGCCCAAACAUGAUGGAAUAUGGCCUUGGAGAUUAUUGUUCUGGAGGUUUAGAACUUGAAGUCCCUUUAAAUUCUCAAUCGAUGCUGAAAUCGCCCCAUCAAAACUAUUGUUUGAGAGAAUAAUGCCCGCGAGGAUAUCUGGAAUCUUGUUAUAUGUCAUCAUUCGCCCUUUGCUGUUCAUUGUCAAUGAUCAGUAGUCAUAAGUGCUAAGUAUAUCAUUGGACAAUUGUCCAUACAGACAAAGCACAUCUUGCAGAUAUCUUAGCUCACUUGCAUUGACAAUUUUCAUGGCAUUCCAACACAGGAAACUCUUUGAUGGAAGCUUUCCAGUAAAUCUGUUGUCAGAUAGGUCAAUAAUGCGGAAUUUAGAAAAUCCACAACCAGUUCUGGGUUCUUCUAUAAUGCCAUAAAAUAUGUUGGAUCGUAGGAUGACGACAUUCAAUUUUGGCAGACUUCCUAACCAAGAGGGAAAAGUGUCACUAAUCUGGUUGUUCCCAAGACCAAGAAAUUCCAACUUUGAACAGUUGAUCAAUGAUCUUGGAAUUCUUCCUUGAAACAGAUUAUGGCUUAAAUCCAUCACGCCUAAUCUACUUUCUUUAGUGAAUGUAUUUGGGAUGGUCCCAGAGAAGUUGUUCCCCUGCAAGUCGAGCACUGAAAGUUCAUUGCUGAAAUUGCCUAAACACUGAGGAAGCAAGCCACUUAAGUUAUUGUGAGACAAAACAAGGCUUUCAAGUAUAUUCAAAUUGCAUAUCCACGAUGGAAUUUCCCCUGUUAAGCUACUGCUAAAAGCUAGAUAGUUAACGGUUCCGGGGGGUGGAACUGGGAGUGGUCCUUGUAAAUUAUUAGAGCUAAGAUCAAAAGUCACCAAAUCACCGUUAUUCCCUGGAAGAAGAAUAGGAUGCUGAUCAAACCCGGUUAACAAGUUAUGCGAAAGGUUCAAGGCAUUUAGAUUAUGCAUAUUGGGGUCUAACAACCAUUUGGGUACUUUUCCCUCAAUUCUAUUGUCAGAAAGGUCCAGGACCACCAUAUCACGUUGGUUUUCCAAGAAAUGUGGAAAUUUAGUAAGAUUGCAUGAACGCAGUCCUAUAUAUUGAAUUUUCUGUGAAGUGGUAUUAGAAGUGGCUUUGGUGAGCAUUGACAACCUAUUUAAUGAGAGACCUAAAACUAACUCUAUCGUUCCUCCAUAAGAAUUUUGAGCCAUGUCAAGGACGACAAGUUCGGUAAGAUUCCGAAGUGAAGAUGUAAUUUGACCUGAAAAAUUACACUCAGACAUAUAUAUUGCUUCCAAUGACCUAAGAUUUCCAAUGGAACCAAGUAAGUUACCUGAAAAAUUAUUAAAUCCAAGAUACAAAAAUUGUAGCCGGGUGAAAUUACCAAUUGAAUGUGGAACUUUGCCCCAAAAACCACAUGACCUCAGAUCUAAUAGCUUCAAAGAACUAAAAUUUCCAGUCGACCAAGGAAACUCACCCAAAAAUUUAUUAAAUGAAAGGUCAAGUUUUUCCAAAGAAAAAAGAUUUCGAAUGGAAGUAGGCAACUCGCCAAAAAAUCCAUUUUGUGAAAGGUCAAGUUCUUUCAAAGAACCAAGAUUUCCUAUGGAAAUAGGCAACUCACCAAAAAAUCUAUUUUGUGAAAGGUCAAGUUCUUACAAAGAACUAAGAUUUCCAAUGGAAAUAGGCCACUCACUCGACAAAAAAUUUGCAGAGAGAUCUAGUUCUUUCAAUGAAUGAAGAUUACCAACAGAAAUAGGCAGCUCACCUUGUAAUUCAUUUAGUGAAAUGUCUAAAUGAAGGAGCUUUGAUAGAUUACCGAUCGAAGAUGGAAUUCUUCCUGAAAUUAGUAAAAAAAAAAAAAGAACACAUUGCUUAAGUGGAAAAUAAAAAAUAAUAAUAAUUUUUACUAAUGAAUUUAACAUUGCAAUUGACAAUUUUCGAGUAAAAUAUAUAUAUUUAACAAUAACAUGCAUGUAUAUUAAUUAAGGAGAAAAUAUAUAAAAUUUAAUUACCUUGCAAUUCACAGUUUUGAAGAGAAACAAACGUCAAAGAAGAUAGAUUUCCGAUGUUAUGAGGUAUCAUUGAAUCAAUAGAAACAUCACCAAGGUCAAGUGUUUUUAGAUUACUUAACUUCUCGACUAAAUUUUCGAAACUGGGCUUCUGGAGUUCAACUCUACUACCAGGAACAUCAUUUAGUGAUAAAUCAAGGGACACCAAGUUGGAGAGCUUUAGAAUUUCUGAAGGUAUUUGACCAGAUAAAGAAGUUCCAGAGAGGUUCAAGUAUGAUAACCUGGAAAGGUUGAUGAUUUCUGGUGGGAUUUCGGAGGAAUUGAAGUCAUUCAAAGCAAGAUUAAGCCACUCGAGAUGGACAAGCUUGGAAAGGCUGCUGCUAGAGUCGAUAGAACCAAAAAGGCAGCUAUGGGAGAGGUCAAGCUUGAUGACAUGACCGGUGUUCUUAUUGCAAUGAACGUCGUCCCAAGAGCAGCAAUCAACGCUACCUUCUUCUGGCUUCCAUGAUGCCAUUGUAGGACGACAGUCAAAUUUCCAAGCAUAAAAAUCACCACUGAUGCGGCUUUCUUUGAAUUGCAACAAAGCAGAAAGCUCAUCAUCAUGGCAGAGUGGCAGCAUAGAAGAAGCAGUGACGUUAGCAAUUGUAAAAUUAAAGAAAAAGAAGGGAAAAACUAACCGUAUGAAUAUUGUGAAUAAACAUAUGGACGAUAAGCCCAUAGUUUUCUCAAAAAUAAAAUUUGUUUAACUUUGUAGAUGUGAAGAAAUUUAAGGAUCUUUAGUUUGGACUCUUUUUUGUUUUUUUAAGUCGACAAAAGUUAGUCUUAAUAAUAUUUAUUUUUUAUUAUUUGAUGUGAUGUCGUAAACUUUUACCAUUCCGUCACCACCGAAAAUACGUUUAUAGCAAACGUGAGGAUUAAUUAAUUAGCACAGGGAAAAAAUGAAAAUGAGUAAAUGAGUAAUACAUUCAUUUUUAUUUUUUGUUUGAAAAAAUGAAAAACAUAAUUCCGAAGUGGUCCUGACCACUUGAAAUUUUUUAAAAAAUGAUAAAUAUUAUUUGGAUAUGAUAUCAACUCAAAAUUCAAACAAAUCUUACAAACAACUGGGGAAAAAUGGUGAAUUCCAUUCCUUAACCGUGGUUUAUUAAAUUUAAAAAAAAAACUAGUGAAAAAAGAUGAUAAUUAAAUUAAUUUUAAUGGAAACAAAGUCACAAUAGUAGAAGUGACAAUUUCGGCACGAUUAGCUAAUUAAUCAGACACAAACACAAGACAAAUUAAUGAAUUUGGAUUUACUAAAAUUGACAUGAUUUUCAACUUUGAUCAAUUAAAAACCUUUCAUUUCGUAUCAUCGGACCCACUAUUAAUCAUCAUAAAUUAUAGUCAACAGACGAUCGAUUUCAGAGACUCAAGACUACUAAUGAUAAGCCUUUGCAUGCUCUGUACAUAUGCCGUGUCAGAAAAUUAUUUCUUACUUUUUAACAUAAGAAUGACGAAAGAGUGAUGUAUUUUUGGACACUGUUCUAAGUCAACUAAAAUUAAAAAUUGGCCAUAUAUCAUUAUAAUGGAUAUCAAGAUAAUUUGAACUCUUAGUUGUUGGAUAAAAAAAUAUUGUUAUCUUUAUUUUUGUUCGCAGAAUGGUUAUUAGUAUAGUUCUUUUAAAGUUCUCAAAAUUUUCAUUUAAAAAAAAAUGUUCCUACAAUAUACCCAAAAAAAAUAAAAAUUGAACCCCAAAAAGAGAAAACUAUUUUUUAAAAUAUAACACAGAUAAUAUCGGUGAGAGUAAUUUAGGUCAAUUCAAAAUCGCUAAUUCGGAGUCAGAUUCAUGUAUUAAUUGUAUCAUAAGUUACCAUCUCUGAGUACGACUAUGGCGUGACAGAGGCUAAUGGAAACUCCAGACUAGUGAGAGUCUAUCGUUACUGAAAAAUGCAUGAAUGGCAUGGAUGCAAAAGUAAUAAAAUUUGGAACUGAUGAUUAAGCCAUUGGCUAACAAAAAUUAACUUCUGAAGAGGCAAGGUCCCUCAAAAAAAAAAAAAAAUUCUUUAAUUUGUUCCAUUGUUUGGUUUGACAAAAUAUAUCAUCUAAAAUUUGGAACUGAUGAUCUAUCGAAGUUGACCUGUGUUUAUAUUUCCUUUCAUUUUCUAUAAUUUGUCAUCUAAUGGGUCAAUGAAUUAAUUUUCUUCUUCUUCUUUUUUAUCCUUUCCGCACUUGAAUUUCCCUUCACGGCAAGUUGAGUAUUCUGCAUACUUUAGGGAAUGUCAUUGUCUUGAUGACUUUUCACUACAACUCUAAAAUUUUCCUCCCCACGGCAUUUGAAUUUUCUUUGUAAACCGCGCACUCGUUGGCUGAGUGAUGACACCUCCUCAACUUAAUUAUUCUCAAGGUCAAGAAUUCGAGUUUUACUCCUUUAGGUUUCUUAGCCGAGCUGCCAAUGCGCCAAUUUGUAAUGAGCUUUACCUGAUGGUCUCUGAGAUGGGCUCUAAUUAGUGCACCUAAAUUCCUCUUAUGUUAGAAACUAAAGUUUCUAAAACUUUUUAACUUGUUUAAAUUAUCCUCCAGCAGUGCCUUGAAUGAGAUCUUCUACUCCAUCAAUGCUUGUAUGUUGUGUUUCAUUUGGGGAUUAGAUUUCCCAGUACGUAGACAGAGAACUCUGACUCUGUUGUCCGAUGUCUCUGCAUUUUCUUGAACUCUCUACUCUGACUCUCAUCGUGUAAUUAAGGAGGAUUAAAGUAAAAGAAAAGGGUAGAACCAGUUCUCCCUAUUUGUUGCACUAGCUAUCAGAUUUCCAUAUUAUACUAAUUAUUGGCCAAAAACAUUUUUUUUAUUUAAAUUGUCAAAAAGACUUGAAUGUUCUCAUCCUAAAAUAAGUUCCAUUAAAACAAUCAUAAUAUUUAUGGAAUGUUUAUAACUAGAAUGAGUGCUCCUACUUAAACUAGUAAAAUCUCUUGAACUAAUUUAAAUGUUCAAUCCUGCUCACAUGAGUGAGGAGAGGGUAUUUGUUUUAAAUUUUAUUGUAUUGAAUUUCGCACUUUCAAUACUUCAACGCAGUUAUUACGAUUUCAUCAAGUUUACGAUGUUAAUGAUCAAACAGUACACUUUCUAAACUAACUAAAAUAGUACCUAGCUAGCUAAUUAGAUAACGGAUUAAUGGAAUGGAUGUGGGUGUCUAGUUUUAGAGUUUGAAAUUUUUUUUUAAAUUAAUCAAAGAAAGCAUAUUUUUAAUUUUGAGUUAUUGUACUAUUAAUUAAUAAUUUAAUUAAAAAAUUUAUUUAUUUGCUAUCAUAAUAGUUGUUGAAAAUGCCUUUAAUAGGGGUUGGUUCAAUAUUUGGUUAGAGUCUGAUUUCAUGCUGGCGAUCCAACUUCUUCUUUUCAUCCCUCUUUGACCAUUUGAAAUGUACUUGCAUUGCAAAUGUCUGUAGUCAAACUUGGGUCUUCAAUGUACUCACAUCCCUUGGUAGGAUUUCUCUCCUUCAAAGAUUAGCGCUCUUUCUUCUCGAGAUGCAAAUGGCUUUUCAAAUUGUCAUUUUUGUUAAUGUAGGUCCUACAUUCAUGGUUUUCUGAAGAUUUUAUAUCAUCUUAGCUUUAUGCAUUUAAAGAGUAAGAUUUUAUAUCACCUUAGCUUUAUGCAUUUAAUGAGGGAUAGGGUUUACUAUAUCCCCUAAUUAAUUGUGUUAAGUCUACUAUUUAUCGAGUUGACAUCUUAUAGCAAGUUUAGUAUUGAAAUUUUAUUUACUAAAUAUCAUGUAAUAGUGAAACGACCCGCCCCAAACCCCAGGGUGAGUCUAUCUAAUCUCAUCAAAACUGGAUUGAUAAUAAUGUAAUUGUUAAAGAUUCUGCCGAAAAUUCAGCAAAGUUUCCUUUAUAAAUAUAGCACUCCCAAUCUGAAAAUAUGUAAAACAAGCACUUCCAAAAUAAUUCAAUUUACAACAAACUCCAAUAAUCAACAUCCUCAACUAAAAUGCUGAGUUUUUCUCAAGACAUCUCCAAAGUCUCAAAGAAUAAUAUUAUAACUAAUAUUAAUAUACCUCAGUUUAUUUUUAAUCCUAAAAAAAUAAUAUAACAAAAUUAUACAAUCCCAAAAGAACGAGAUAACCAUCAUGUCCUAACAAAAAGCAUCUAUAUCUUCUAACACCAUCACGUGGCCAAGACUCAAAAUAUAUUUACAGUCGUUAGGUCGGUCUAGUGUACUUGCAACCUCCUGGUGGGGGGGGGGAAUAUAAUAAAAACGGGAUGAAUAUAAAACUCAGUGAGUGGAUAGUAAUUUUUGAAAAUUAAUUCUUAUUUUAAAAGAAAUAAUCAUGUCAUUUCCAAACACAAUUUUAUUAAACCAUAUGUGAGAAACCAGUAAUAAAUCAUUUAACAUUUAAAUCGGAUUACUAACCAUGAAAAGCAUAUACAAUAUCGUACCUAAUAACCAUGGAAAUCAUAUCACGAUAUUAUAUAGAAUACACAGAUCUGAAAAAUCAUCACCAAACAAGUACCCAGGGGAAUAAUCUCGUCGUAUUUAGACCUCAAUGGACAGGCAAUGACGUACUAUCUAGGUACCGUCACCCCCCAGAGCUACACGGAUAGACAAGGAAAUACCAUCUCAUAUCUCAUCAUAUCAUCUCAUCAUAUUUGUGCAUGCAUAAUCUAGUCCCCAAAGGACAAAAGCACCCAAGCACACGGCCCAAAGUCUCUAUGUGUACUCAGACGAGCCCCAAAGGCCUGUAUCUCAUCUGUGUCAUAUGUAUCUCAAUAUCUGUCUGUAUCUCAUAUCUAUAUCUCUGUAACCAUCAUACCGCAUGCAUAUCCCCCCAAAAGGCAAAAGCGCCCAAAUACACGGCCCAAAGCCUCUAUGUGUGUUCAGACGGGCCCCAAAGGCCUCUCAUCUCAUCUGUAUCACUGUAUCUGGAGGGAAGGGUAUUGUCCAAUGAUUUUAAAAGCAAUCUCUAUACUCAUAUUCAUAUACAUUAUAAUCAUAUCUUUCUUUUCAUUAUCACAUCUAAAUCCACUUUUCUCAUCUUUAAGAUACUCUCAUAUUUUAUUCAAGUCUGUACGGAAAACCAUUAACCAAACAUUUUAAUAUAAUGUUAAUGCGUGAAUAAAAUCUAUUUCGAGAAAAUCAUUAAAUCAGAAUAUUUAAAAUACUUAUUUCGCAAACAUGCUUUACUAUCAUAAUUAACUAUGAAAAUAGGUUUUGUAUAUUCCAUUCAUAGUGACGGUGUUCACGUCCGGUUAUCGUCCACGUUCGCAGACUGCUUAUUGCUUGCGGAUCCUCCUAAAUCAAGGAAACGACAUAAUUAUUUUUCAUAAAUUGGAAUUACGACUAAAUUUAUACAAUAAACUUGAAACGAACAUCUAUCCAUAAUUUACAACUCCCGUGUCGAUAGAGUUACCAAAAUACCCUUGAAUCCGUAAAUCAUUAAAUACUCUGAAAUCGUAAAUCACCGAAUUACCCUUAGAAUCAUAAUUACACUCAAUCCUCAAUUUUAGGAAUUACUAAAAUAUCCACAGGCUCAUGAAUUACAAAAUCAAUGAAAUGACAUAAUUAUUUUCCAUAAAUCGGAAUUAUGACUAAAUUUAUACAGUAAACUCGAAACAAACAUCUAUCCAUAAUUUACAACUCCCGUGUCGAUAGAAUUACCAAAAUACCCUCGAAUAUGUAAAUCAUGAAAAUACUCUGAAAUCGUAAAUCACUGAAUUACCCUCAAAAUUGUAAUUACACUCAAUCCUCAAUUUUAGGAAUUACUAAAACAUCCACAGGCUCAGGAAUUACAAAAUCACCCUCAAAAUGUGAAAUUACUGAAUUGCCCUUGCCGGUCAAUGGUGGCCGAAAUUCAAGCAACAGUGACCGGAAAGCUCAGGUUAGACACUUCUCGCUGAGCUAAGUUCAAUGAUACUGGCGGUGUGCUCCCACGCUUGGCGACGACACCGGAAUCUAGCUCGACAGCCCUGUAACUACAACGGCUGAACCACAGCAAAUCGACAGCUCUCGGUGGCUGUGGAUGGUCGGAAAAUCAAAAGGGAGUUGUGGGGAACAAAAUCCAGCCAGUGGUGUCACCCAAAACCGCCGAAAAUCUCGACAGAGCAAAGUGGAAAAGUCGCGGGUUUUUCAAGCUUUGGUCGCCGAUGUUCUGGUUGUUUUUCGAUAACGUGGACGGCUGGGGUAUGAUGGCCAGACUUCAAGCCUCAGAUUGGUACCAAGCUUGACCGGUGGAGUGGCCGAAAUCGUAAGAUAUGGCCGAGUCAAUUUCGGGUCAAACAGGUCGGGUUUUUGGGUCGGUUUUGACAGCUUCUCUCUCACUCUCUCACACGUGUAUUUGUUACCCCAUUUCCAGCUUCUUCAUUUACUUUUUAACCGCCUCACCUCUUUUUUUUCACAUAUGUUACAAUCCUCCCCACUUAUAAAAAUUUUGUCCUCGAAAUUUACGUACCUAAUAAGAAAAGAUAAGGAUACUGAGCUCGCAUUAAGUCUUCGCAUUCCUAUGUAGCCUUUUCCUUUGUAUGAUUCCUCCAUCGUACUUUUCCUAGAGGAAUGGUCUUAGAACGCAGAACUUGGUGUUUCUCUUCUAGUAUCUCCACUAGUUCCUUUUCGUAAGUCUAAUCUUCCUUCAACUGAAUUGGUUGCUUCGAUAACACAUGGUUCGGAUCAUAUAUGUACUUUCGGAACAUUGAGACAUGAAACACAUCGUGGACUCUGGAUAACUCUGGUGGUAGAGCUAAUCGAUAAGCUAACAGACCGAUGAGCUCAAUGAUCUCAUAAGGCUGAAUGUAACGUGGUCUUAGCAUCCCACGUUUCCUAAAUCAAAGCACCCCUUUCCAAGGAGAUAUUCGUAUGAAAACUCUAUGACCAACUUCAAAUUCAAGUUCCUGCCUACGCUUGUCUGCAUAACUCUUCUAUCUAUCUUGGGCCACUUUUAAUCUAUCCUGGAUCAAUUGUAUCUUGUCGUCAACUUGGUGCCUACAGCAUUUUGCAAGCUGGUCCAGAACUUAGAAGUAAACCGGGAAUCUCUAUCUGAGACUAUGGACACGGGUACUCCAUGAAGUCGAACUAUCUCAGCCAUAUAAAUACUCCCUAACUUGUCCAUCGAAUAGGUGGUUUUGAAUGGUAAAAAGUGAGCAGAUUUUGUAAGUUGAUCAACAACCACCAAAAUACUAUCAUGUCCUUUCUGAGUACGUGGAAGUCCCGCUAUAAAAUCCAUAGUGAUGUGCUCCCAACUUCCACUCAGGAAUAGAAAGCGACUGAGAACACCUUGUAGGCCUUUGGUGUUCAGCUUUAAUCUGCUGACAGACUAAACAUCGAGAAAUAAAUUCUGCUAUCUCUCUCUUCGUGCCCUUCCACCAACAAUGAUCCCUCAGGGUGUUGUACAUCUUCGCCCUACCAUGAUGCAUCGCAUAAGCCGAACAGUGAGCUUAUUCCAUAAUCUCUUCUUUUAGAUCCUUAAUAUCAGGUACACAGAGUCUAUUACCCAUGACUAAGACUCUGUCGUCUCUUACCGUAAAAUCGGUUCGUAAACAUUUUUGCACAUCCUCUUUCAACUUCAUUAAUUGUGGGUCCUGAGCUUGCAUUUGGUGAACUUUGUCAAUCAAAGUCGGCCUAACUCGAAAGUUAGCUAUUAAAGCUCCACAAUUGUCAGCGUUCAACUUGACUUCCAAAGAUCUCAACUCGAUCAACAGAGGCAUAUAUGUCAUUCGUAAGUGAGCUAUAAAGCUGGAAGACUUUUUACUUAGUGCAUCAUGUACCACAUUCGCUUUGCCCGGAUGAUAAUCAAUAGUGCAAUCGUAGUCCUUAAUUAGCUCGAUCCAUCUCCUCUAUCUCAAAUUUAGCUUUUUCUAAGUAAAUAAAUACUUGAGACUCUCAUGAUGGGUGAAAAUCUAACACGUUGCCCCAUAUAGGUUAUGCCUCCAUGUCUUGAGUGCCAAUACCACUGCUGCUAGCUCUAGGUCAUGUGUUGGGUAGUUUUGCUCAUGCUUCUUAAGUUGUCUAGAACCAUAAGCCACCACUUUAUCAUGUUGUAUUAACACACAACUCAAUCCUUGCCUAGAGGCAUCGUUGUAUACCACAAAUCCUUCAUUACCAAAUGGAAGUGUAAGAACUUGUGCUGAGGUCAAACGUAUCUUAAGUUCUUGAAAACUCUUUUCACAAUCAUCAUCCCAUUAAAACUUAGCAUUCUUUUUGGUUAACCGUGUUAGAGGAGUAGCAAUCUUAGAGAAUCCCUCCACAAAUCUACGAUAGUAGCCAGCCAACCCCAGGAAACUUCUAACCUCUGUGACAUUUGUAGGCCAUUCCUAUUUCACAACAGCUUCAAUCUUUUGAGGAUCAACAUAAUGCCUUCAGCUGAUAUCACAUGGCCUAAAAAUACUACUCUGUCCAACCAGAACUCGUACUUGCUGAACUUGGCAUACAACUGCUUUUGUCUCAAAGUCUGUAAAACAGUCUGCAAAUGCUCUGCGUGCACCUCCUCACUUCGAGAAUACACCAAGAUAUCAUCAAUGAAUACAAUCACAAACCGAUCCAGGUACGGGCGAAAUACCUUAUUCAUAAGGUCCAUAAAAGCUGCUAGAGCAUUUGUCAACCCAAAUAGCAUCACCAAGAAUUCAUUUGUCCAUAAUAGGUUCUAAAUGUUGUUUUAGGAACAUUGGCCUCUUUAAUUCUAAGCUAAUGGUACCUCGGGCACAAAUCGAUCUUAGAAAAUACUUUCGCCCCCUGAAGUUGAUCAAACAAGUCAUCAAUACACGGAAGUGGAUACUUAUUGUGUACCGUAACUUUUUUCAACUGUCUGUAGUCGAUGCAAAGUCUAAAAGUCCCAUUUUUUUUCUUAACAAACAAGACUGGAGCUCCCCGCGGGGACACACUAGGUCUAUUAAACCCUUUAUCUACCAACUCUUGCAAUUGAAACUUCAGUUCCUUCAACUCUGCUAGAGCCAUCCUGUAUAGUGCCAUAGAUAUAGGAGAUGUUCCAGGGACUAAGUCAAUAGAAAACUCAUCUUCCCUGUUAGAUGGCAUCUUAGGAAAUUCAUCUGGAUGGCCUACUACUAGAGCCACCCUCUGCCCAGCUCUGGCUAUGCUUCUGCUUCAGUGCACAAACUUUGCAUCCCUCUGAAAUAUUGUGCUCUACUCUCCUGGCUGCCUCAACUACCUCUCCAAACUCAGUGUAUCGUAAUGCAGUCACGGUGGUACGAAUCUCAAAUCGGAGGCUUUCCUCAAACCAUUUGCAUCUCUCUUUCUCAUCACCGACUACAGAUGUAGCAAAUCUAAAGAGGUCUAAAAAUUUCUUCUCAUACUCCUCAACUGUCAGGGAUCCCUGAACUACCAGAAGGGAUUCACUCCGUUUAAUAUCCUAAUACACAGCUGGAAAAUAAUGAUUGUAGAAUUCCUUAUGGAAAAUGCUCCAAGUAAUCGCAGCAUGCCCCUGAUAUCAUCUUUCCACUGUCUGCCACCAAUGGUAAGCUCUAUCCUCGAGCAAGAAAGUGGCAAAGGAUAAUCUGUCAUCCUCUGAACACUUCAUCAUGUCAAAAGUACGCUCUGACUUAACAAACUAUGACUCAGCCUCAAGUGGUUCUUCGGAAACAUUUAAGUUUCUCACUCGCUCAAUAAUGAUUGCAUUGCCAGCAUGCUCUUGAGUCUGAUUCUGCACAACUGUAGUCAUGAUCUGAGCUAGCCUAUCAAAUGACUGCUCAAUAUUUGGGGCAAUCCCUGGCGCCUAUUGUGCAAUUUCAUAUGUGGAGGAUUCAACUACCCCUCUUUCACAAGUUCACUUUCCCCCAUAGGUACCCCACUAGAAGACAACCCAACUACUGGCCUAGUACGGCCACGACUACGUCUACUGCUACGACAAAGCAUGAUGGUGCCUACAAGAUAUAAAUUCUAACUUUAAUAAAAAAAAUAAAACUUAUUCUUACUAAGGUAGUAAAGUCUGCAAAAUCUAAAACCAUGCUCUAAUACCAACUUAAACAACCAGCCCCAAACCCCAGGGUGAGUCUAUCUAAUAAUAAUCUAAUUGGUAAAGAUUCUGCCGAAAAUUCGAUAGAGUUUCCUUUAUAAAUAUAACACUCCCAAUCUGAAAAAAUGUAAAACAAGCACUUCCAAAAUAAUUCAAUUUACAACAAACUCCAAUAAUCAACAUCCUCAACCAAAAUACUAAGUUUUUCCCAAGAUAACUCUAGAAUCUCAAAGGAUAAUAUUAUAACUAAUAUUAAUAUACCUCAAUUUAUUCUUAAUCCCAAAAGAAUAAUAUAACAAAAUUAUACAAGCCCAAAAGAACGAGAUAACCACGAUGUCCUAACAAAAAGCAUCUAUUUCUUCUAAUACCAACACGUAGCAAAGACUCAAAAUGCAUUUACAGUCGCUGGGUUGGUCUGGUGUAUCUGCAACCUCCUGGUGGGGGGAAAAUAUAAUAAAAACGGAAUGAGUAUAAGCCUUAGUGAGCUCAAUGAGUGGAUAGUAAUUUUUGAAAAUUAAUUCCUACUUUAAAAGAAAUAAUCAUAUCAUUUCCAAAUACGAUUUUAUCAAACCAUAUGCGAGAAACCAGUAAUAAGUCAUUUAACAUUUAAAUCAGAUUGCUAACCGUGAAAAGCAUAAAUAAUAUCGUACUUAAUAACCAUGGAAAUCAUAUCACGAUAUUAUAUAGAAUAUACAGAUCUGAAAAUCAUUACCAAACAAUUAUCCAGGGGAAUAAACUCGUCGUAUCCAAACCUCAACGGACGGGCAAUGACUUACUAUCUAGGUACCGUCACGCCCCAUAGCUACACGGAUAGACAAGGAAAUACAAUCUCAUAUCUCAUCAUAUUUGUGCAUGCAUAAUCUAGUCCCUAAAGGACAAAAGCGCCCAAGCACAAGGCCCAAAGCUUCUAUGUGUACUCAGACGAGCCCCAAAGGCCUGUAUCUCAUCUGUAUCAUCUGUAUCUCAAUAUCUGUCUGUAUCUCAUAUUUGUAUGUCUGCAACCAUCAUACCCCAUGUAUAUGCCCCCAAAAUGCUAAAGCGCCCAAACACACGGUCCAAAGCCUCUAUGUGUGUUCAGACGGGCCCCAAAGGCCUCUCAUCUCAUUUGUAUCAUUGUAUGUGGAGAGAAGGGUACUGUCCAAUGAUUUUAAAAACAAUCUCUAUACUCAUAUUCAUAUACAUUCUAAUCAUAUCUUUCUUUUCAUUAUCACGUCUAAAUCCACUUUUCUCAUCUUUAAGAUACUAUCAUAUUUUAUUCAAGUCCAUACGGAAAACCAUUAACCAAACAUUUUAAUAUAAUAUCAAUGCAUGAAUAAAAUCCAUUUCGAGAAAAUCAUUAAAUCAGAAUAUUUAAAAUAUUUAUUUCGCAAACAUACUUUACUAUCAUAAUUAACCAUGAAAAUAGGUUUUGUAUAUUCCACUCACAGUGACGGUGUUCACGCUCGGUUAUCGUCCACGUCCGCGGACUGAUUAUCGCUUGCAGAUCCUCCUAAAUCAAGGAAACGACAUAAUUAUUUUCCAUAAAUUGGAAUUACGACUAAAUUUAUACAAUAAACUCAAAAACGAACAUCUAUCCAUAAUUUCGGGUCAAACGGGUCGGGUUUUUGGCUCGGUUUUUACAGCUUCUCUCUCACUCUCUCACACGUGUAUAUGUUACCCCAUUUCCAGCUUCUUCAUUUACUUUUAUUUACUUUUUAACUGCCUCACCCCUUUUUUUCACAUAUGUUACAAAUAGGGUUUAAUUUAUUCAAUUCCUAGCUAAUUUAGUUAAAUUCCAAUUUAUUAGGAAUAUCGUUUCCUGGUUUUAACUAGAUGUCUAAUUUAGCAAGUCAAUUAGUGACAUGAUUUUUAUAAAUGGUGCGUGGGAUUUAUUUAGAGGAAGAAGUUAGUUCAAACAAAAAGUUUAUUAAAUGCUCUAGAUAUUUCUUAGGAGAUAAGUAAGGUAAGCAUAUCAUUUUUAUUCCUAUUCAGAUUUAUAGGAAUUAUAAGAGGAAAAAAAUUCUUAUUUGGAAAGAAUCCUAGGCUUUUAACGACAGUCUUAAUAAAUUUUUUCACAUCAGCCUCAUACUCAUCAAACAAUAUAUCAUAUUUAAUCCAAGAUUUAUCCAUUUUUGUUUAGUACCUGACAUAUAAUUGAGACAAAUUUCAACAUAAUGUACUAAUGGGCAGCAAUGAUAAAUAGUUUCCAUUAUCAAUAAAUUAAGCAACAAAACAUUAUUAAUAUUCAGUUUAUAAAUUUAAUGAAAUAAAUAAAUUUAAAAAUAAAAACUUGUCAUCAUGUGCAACAAACAUAACUUCACCAACGUGCUGUCAUCAUUUACCAAAACCCACUAAUAAUAUCCUAAAUAAUUUAGCCCACAUACAUUUAACAUUUAUUUAAAAGAAAUUUUAACAAUCCGGUAUUUCAUGGACCGCAACACUAUAUAUAUAUAUAUAUAUAUAUAAAUACAAACGCAACUAUACAUUCCUUGGUCCACAUGACCAAACUUACCAUUUCUUUCAAACAUAAAAAAAAAUUGAAAACGGGGGCCUCACUUUUCAACUCAAUAAAAUACACUAGAAAGUAUUGAAAAAGGGGGCCUCACUAUUCAAGCGUCACCAUUAGCUUGGAUGUAUGUAAAGAUGAUUUGAACCCAUAGUUGUUGCAUAAAAACCUUUGUUAUCUUUACUUUUGUUGUCAAAAUUAUUAUUGUAAUUUUUUUAAUGGUAGAAGUAGAACCUAAUCCCUCACAAUUAUCAUUUAAUAAUAUGUUAAUUACCAAACACUAUUAUUUUUUUAUUCAUACCUAGUAGUGAUUUAAAUUUGAAAAGCGACAAAACCAGAAACCAAUUUUUAAUAUAUAAUAAACCAAUUAUUAUUAUUUUUUUUUACGGUGAAAUGUAAGGAUCCAUUUAAAAAAAAAAAACACCAACAUUACAAUGACUGAAUUAGAAACGAAAAUCACAGCAACAUUAUAAUUGCAUUCAGUCUCUACGUCUCCUCCUCCUCCUUGUUGCCUUUUGCUGCGUUCCCAACUUCUCCAGAAUCCAUCCGAUAAUUCCUGUGCUGAAGUUGAACCCGAGAACCAAUCCUGCCACAAGUCCGCCCGCAUAGCCAGUCAGAAUGAUUUUCCAAUCAGAUGCGCCUGAAAACAGGGACUCCUCCGAGCCUUCAGUAUGAUCUUCAUUUGUUGCAGCUUCACCACUCUCACAUCCUUUGGACAAUGGCUUUCCACACAAUCCUGAGUUGCCGUCGAAAGAAGUAUUGUCAAAUGUAGCAAAUUGCUUUCCUUGUGGUAUAGGCCCUGUAAGGUAAUUGUCUGAGACAUUGAAGAAUUCGAGAAAUGUGAGCUCAACCAAUUGUUGAGGAAUCCGUCCUGAAAACUUGUUAUUUGAGAGAUCCAGUGAUUCCAAAUUUGUUAGAUUGCCCAAACAUGACAGAAUAAGGCCUUGGAGAUUAUUGUGCUGGAGGUUUAGAACUUGAAGUCCCUUUAAAUUUGCAAUCGAUGCUGGAAUCGCCCCAACAAAUCUAUUAUUUGAGAGAAUAAUGCCCGCAAGGAUAUCCGGAAUCUUUUUAUAUGUCAUCAUUCGCCCUUUGCUGCUCAUUGUCAUUGAGUAGUCAUAAGUGCUAAGUACAUUAUUGGUCACUUGUCCAUACGAAGAAAGCACAUCUUGCAGAUAUCUUAGCUCACUUGUAUUGACAAUUUUCAUGGCAUUCCAACACAGGAAACUCUUUGAUGGAAGCUUUCCAGUAAAUCUGUUGUUAGAUAGGUCAAUAAUGCGGAGUUUAGAAAAUCCACAACCAGUUCUGGGUUCUUCUAUAACACCAUAAAAUAUGUUGGAUCGUAGGAUGAGAACAUUCAAUUUUGGAAGAGUUCCUAACCAAGAGGGAAAAGUGUCACUAAUCUGGUUGUUCCCAAGACUAAGAAAUUCCAACUUUGAACAGUUGAUCAAUGAUCUUGGAAUUCUUCCUUGAAACAGAUUAUGGCUUAAAUCAAUCACGCCUAAUCUACUUUCUUUAAUGAAAGUAUUUGGGAUGGUCCCAAAGAAGUUGUUCCUCUGCAAGUCGAGCACUGAAAGUUCAUCGCUGAAAUUGCCUAAACACUGAGGAAGCAAGCCACUUAAGUUAUUGUGAGACAAAACAAGGCUUUCAAGAAUAUUCAAAUUGCAUAUCCACGAUGGAAUUUCCCCUGUUAAGCUAUUGUUUGAAGCUAGAUAGUUAACGGUUCCGAGGGGUGGAACUGGGAGUGGUCCUUGUAAAUUAUUAGAGCUAAGAUCAAAAGUCACCAAAUCACCGAUAUUCCCUGGAAGAAGAACAGGAUGCUGAUCAAACCCGGUUAACAAGUUAUGCGAAAGGUUCAAGGCAUUGAGAUUAUGCAUAUUGGGGUCUAACAACCAUUUAGGUACUUUUCCCUGAAUUUUAUUGUCAGAAAGGUCCAGGACCACCAAAUGACUUUGGUUUUCCAAGAAAUUUGGAAAUUUGGUAAGAUUACAUGAACGUAGUCCUAUGUACUGAAUUUUCUGUGAAGUGGUAUUAGAAGUGGCUUUGGUGAGCACUGACAACCUAUUUAAUGAGAGACCUAAAACUUCCAAAUUUUUCCAGCAAGUAAGUAAAACAUCUAACUCUAUCGUUCCGCUAAAAGAAUUUCGAGCCAAGUCAAGGACGAAAAGUUGGGUAAGAUUCCUAAGUGAAGGUGGAAUUUGACCUGCAAAAUUACACUUGGCGAUAUGUAUUACUUCCAAUGACCUAAGAUUUCCAAUGGAACCAAGUAUGUCACCGGAAAAAUUAUUCAAUCCAAGAUACAAAAAUUGUAGCCGGGUGAAAUUACCAAUCGAAUGUGGAACUUUGCCCCAAAAACUACAUGACCUUAGAUCUAAUAGCCUCAAAGAACUGAAAUUUCCAGUCGACCAUGGAAACUCACCCGAAAAUUUAUUGAAUGAAAGGUCAAGUUUUUCCAAAGAAAAAAGAUUUCGAAUGGAAGUAGGCAACUCACCAAAAAAUCCAUUUUGUGAAAGGUCGAGUUCUUUCAAAGAACCAAGAUUUCCCAUGGAAAUAGGCAACUCACCAAAAAAUCUAUUUUGUGAAAGGUCAAGUUCUUUCAAAGAACUAAGAUUUCCAAUGGAAAUAGGCCACUCACUCGACAAAAAAUUUGCAGAGAGAUCUAGUUCUUUCAAAGAAUGAAGAUUACCAACGGAAAUAGGCAGUUCACCCUGUAAUUCAUUUAGUGAAAGGUCUAAAUGAAGGAGUUUCGAUAGAUUACCGAGUGAAGAUGGAAUUCUUCCUGAAAUUUGUAAAAAAAAAAAAACACAUUGCUUAAGUAGAAAAUUAAAAAUAAUAAAAAAUUUUACUAAUGAAUUUAACAUCAGAAUUGGCAAUUUUCGAGUAAUAUAUAUAUAUUUAACAAUAACAUGCAUGUAUAUUAAUUAAGGAGAAAAUAUAUAGAAUUUAAUUACCUUGCAAUUCACAGUUUCGAAGAGAAACAAACGUCAAAGAAGAUAGAUUUGCGAAGUUAUGAGGUAUCGUUGACUGAAUAGAAACAUCACCAAGGUCAAGUGUUGUUAGAUUGCUUAACUUCUCGACUAAAUUUACGAAACUGGGCUUCUGAAGUUCCAGUCUACCAUCAGGAACAUCAUUUAGUGAUAAAUCAAGGGACACCAAGUUGGAGAGCCUUAGAAUUUCUGAUGGUAUUUGGCCAGAUAAAGAAGUUCCAGAGAGGUUCAAGUAUGAUAACCUGGAAAGGUUGAUGAUUUCUGGUGGGAUUUCGGAGGAAUUGAAGUCAUUCAAAGCAAGAUUAAGCCACUCAAGAUGGACAAGCUUGAAAAGGCUGCUGCUAGAGUUGAUAGAACCAAAAAGGCAGCUGUGGGAGAGGUCAAGCUUGAUGACAUGACCAGUGUUCUUAUUGCAAUGAACGCCGUCCCAAGAGCAGCAAUCAACGUUACCUUCUUCUGGCUUCCAUGAUGCCAUUGUAGGACGACAGUCAAAUUUCCAAGCAUAAAAAUCACCACUGAUGAUGCUUUCUUUGAAUUGCAACAAAGCAGAGCGCUCAUCAUAAUGGCAGAGUGGCAGCAUAGAAGAAGCAGUGACGUUAGCAAUUGUUAAAUUAAAGAAAAUGAAGGGAAAAACUAACCGUAUGAAUAUUGUGAAUAAACAUAUGGAGGAUAAACCCAUAGUUUUCUCAAAAAUAAAAUUUGUUUAGCUUUGUAGAUGUGAAGAAAUUUAAGGAUCUUUGGUUUGCUUUUAUAGGCAAAUUGCAGCAAUUCAAACAUUAUAGUCAUUGGACUCUUUUUUUAUAUUUUUAAAGUCAACAAAACUUCGUCUUAAUAAUAUUUAUUUUAUAUUAUUUGAUGUGAUGUCGUAAACUUUUACCAUUCCGUCACCACCGAAAAUACGUUUAUAGCAAACGUGAGGAUUAAUUAAUUAGUAAAUGCGAACAAUCGCAUCAAUACGGUGUCGGGCUGUUGGAUUUUUAAUUCUAACUUUAUUCUUUUUUUUCUUUUUCUUUCUUUUUUACUUUUCACUUCACUUUAACAAUCCUGGAUUGUGGGAAAAAAGUUCAUUCCUUUACAUCCCUUUUUCCACAUAAAUCUACUCAUAAAAGAAUUACAGAAAUGAUUUCUGAAUCUACAAAAUGGAAUCAAGUGAAUGCAAUCUUCCAAUCAUUCAUAUUCCCCUUUCCACAUAAAUCAACUCAUAAAAGUGAUGCUUACAAUUAUGUCCAGAUUCACACCAGUAUAGCAAAAUAAACUUCUUUUAGAUUUCCCAAAUAGACGCUGUUGGUUAUUUUGCAAAAAAAAUUCAGGAUCGAAGUAAAAAACAUAAAAUCUAAAAUAGGGUAAAAGCUUAUAACGAACAUAAAACAAAAUAAAGAAAGAGUAUACAUUAUGCUAUAAGUGUUUAAAGAAAAUUACGUACAGUGUCUUCUAUGUCUCCUGUUUCUCCUCAUUGUUUUUGGCCAUCCCAAAUUUCUCAAUCACCCUCCUGAGUAUUGAACAAGCAAAUAUUAUUAGUUAUAAUAAAUAACUUAAUGAUGAUAAUUUUUUUGUCACCAAGUCCUUAUCAAAAACCAUUAGACUACUCUUGCACUGGUGUUUACCGUAUGUGUAAUAAAUCAAUCUUUUUUUUUUUUUGGUUUGAAAAAAUGAAAAACAUAAUUCCGAAGUGGUCCAGACCACUUGAAAUUUAAAAAACAAAAUGAUAAAUAUUAUUUGGAUAUGAUAUCAACUCAAAAUACAAACAACUGGCGAAAAAUGGUGAAUUCCAUUCCUUAACCGAAGUUUAUUAAAUAAAAAAAAAAACUAGUGAAAAAAAAUGAUAAUUAAAUAAAUUUUAAUGGAAACAAAGUCACAAUAGUAGAAGUGACAAUUUUGGGCACCAUUAACUAAUUAAUCAGACACAAACACAAGACAAAUUAAUGAAUUUGGAUUUACUAAAAUUGACAUGAUUUUCAAUUUAGAUCAAUUACAAACCUUUCAUUUAAAUUAUAGUCAACAGACGAUCAAUUUCAGAGACUCAAGACUAGUAAUUAGAAGUCUUUGCACACUCUGUACAUAUGCCGUGUCAGAAAAUUAUUUCUUAGUUUUUAAGAUAAGAAUGACGAAAGAGAGAUGUAUUUUUGGACACUGUUGUUCUAAGUCAACUAAAAUUAAAAUUGGCCAUAUAUCAUUAUAAUGGAUGUUAAGAUAAUUUGAACUCAUAGUUGUUGGAUAAAAAAACAUUGCUAUUUUUAUUUUUGUUCACAGAAUUGUUAUUAGUAUAGUUCUUUUAAAGUUCUCAAAAUUUUCAUUUAAAAAAAAUAUGUUCCUACAAUAUACCCAAAAAAAAAAAAAUUGAACGCAAAAAAGAAAACAAUUUUUUAAAAUAUAACACAGAUAAUAAUGGUGAGAGUAAUUUAGGUCAAUUCAAAAUCGCUAAUUUGGAGUCAGAUUCAUGUAUUAAUUGUAUCAUAAGUUACCAUCUCUGUGUCUAUGGCGUGGCAGAGGCUCACGGAAACUCCAUACUAGUGAGUCUAUCGUUACUGAAAAAUGCAUGAAUGGCAUGGAUGCAAAAGUAAUAAAAUUUGGAACUGAUGAUUAAGCCAUUAGCUAACAAUAAUUAACUUCUGAAGAGGCAACGUCCCACCCCAAAAAAAAAAGUAAAAAAAAUGAUUUAAUGUGUUAUUAACAAUCUAUCCAGAAAAAAAAAAAAUUAUUCAAUAGGAUCUAUCGAACUUGACCUGCGUUUAUAUUUCCUUUCUUUUUCUAUAAUUUUUCAUCUAAUGGGUCAAUGAAUUAAUUUGCUUCUUUUUUCUUUUUUUUCCUCCUUUCCCCACUUGUAUUUCCCUUCACGGCCCGUUGAGUAUUCUGCAUACUCGAGGGUAUGUCAUUGUCUUGAUGACUUUUCACUACAACUCUAAAAUUUUCCUCCCCAUGGCAUGUUGAUAUUAACUCCAAAUUAGCAAUAUUAUCACUGUCACUCUUCUUUGUAAACUACGCACUCGUUGGUUGAGUGAUGACACCUCCUCAACUUAAUUAUUCUCAGGGUCAAGAAUUUGAGUUUUACUCCUAGAUUUCUUAGCCGAUCUGCCAAUGCGCCAAUUUGUAAUGAGCUUUAGCUGAUGGUUUCUGAGAUGGGCUCUAAUUAGUGCACCUAAAAUGUAACAAAUAUCUCACGUUAACAACCCAAAAUUCCAUAAUAUCAUGCAAAAUCAUUCUAGAAGUUAAAAUUAGGUGUUAAUCCGAUACAAACACCAGAAAAAUUAAUGAAAUUUGGAUUUACUAAAAUUGGCAUGAUUUUUUAAUUUAGAUCAAUUAAAAAUAUUUCAUUUUAUAGUGUCGGAUUCCCUAUAAGUCGUCAUAAAUCAUUAUCCAGACGAUCAAGGCCGGCGGAUAAAGACUCAAGACUAGAAUUAGAAGUCUUCGAGUACCAAUCAUAUGUCGUGUCAGAAAAUUCUUUCUUAGUUCAAGCCAACUAAAGUUGAAUUCGCCAUAUCAUUAUAAUGGAUGUUAAUAUUGCUAACUUGGAGUCAAAAGUCAUGCGUUGAUUGCAUUUGUAUUGUCUGAAUGACUAGGACGUGGCAAAGGCUCAUGGAAUAGAUCUGCUUCUUUUUUCUCCUUUCCCCACUACCACCAGUUCACUUAACUUUUCCUUCACGGCAUGCUGAAUGAGAUCUUCUACUCCAUCAGUGCAUUUAGGAUUAGAUUUCUAAUUUGUCCGAUGUCUCUGCAUUUUCUUGAACUUUCUACUCUUCCUCGUGUAAUUAAGGAGGAUUAAAGUAAAAGAAAUGGGUAGAACCAGUUAUCCCUAUUUGUUGCACUAGCUAUCAGAUUUCCAUAUUAUAGUAAUUAUUGGCCAAAAACAUAAUUUUUUAUUUAAAUUGUCAAAAAGACUUGAAUGUUCUUAUCCUAAAAUAAGUUCCAUUAAAACAAUCAUAAUAUUUAUGGCAUGGUCCUACUUAAACCAGUAAAAUCUCUUGAACUAAUUUAAAGGUUCAAUCCUGCUCACAUGAGUAAGGAGAGGAUAGGGUAUUUUUUUAAAAUUUUAUUGUAUUGAAUUUUGCACUUUCAAUACUUCUACGUAGUUAUUAGGGAAAAAGACAUUCAACCCCCCAACGUUUAGGAAAAGGGACAAAAAACCCCUCAACAUUUCAAAAAGGACUUAUAACACCCUUUCCGUUAAUAAACACCGUUUGUUUUAACAGUAAAUUUAUUUUUAAUUUUUAAUUACUAUUAUACCCUUAUAAUAAAUAUAAAUUAAUAUAUUGAUUUGAGACAUGUCACAAUUAAUAAUUUUUUUAAAACUAAAAAUUGAGAUACAAUUACAUUUUUGCCCAAAUUAUUUGCUAUAAAUUAUACAUUUCUAAUGAUCAAACCUUUCAUAUAUGAUUAUUACUAAUAAAACGAAAUUUGAUUAAACCCUUUUUCUUUGAGGAAUCAAAACGAUAUUAUUAUUGUUAGAAAGGUAUAAUUUAUAGUAAAUAAUUUUGGCAAAAAAAUAAUUGUAUCUCAAUUUUAAGCUUUUAAAAAAUUAUUAAUUGUGAUAUAUCUCAAAUUAAUAUAUUAAUUUUUUUAUAAGGGUAUAAUAGUAAUUAAAAAUUAAAAAUAAAUUUACUGUUAAAACAAACGGUAUUUGUUAACGGAAAAGGGGUUAUAAGUCCUUUUUAAAACGUUGAGGAGUUUUUUGUCCAUUUUCCUAAACUUUUGGGGGUUGAAUGUCCUUUUCCCUAGUUAUUACGAUUUCAUCAAGUUUACGAUGUUAAUGAUCAAACAGUACACUUUCUAAACCAACUAAAAUAGUACCCAGCUAGCUAAUUAGAUAACGGAUUAAUGGAAUAGAUGUGGAUGUCUAGUUUUAGAGUUUGAUUUUUUUUUUUAAUUAAUCAAAGAAAACAUAUUUUUAAUUUUGGGUUAUUGUACUAUUAAUUAAUAAUUUAAUUAAAAAAAAUUAUUUAUUUGCUUUCAUUCUAGUUGUUGAAAAUGCCUUUAAUAGGGGUUGGUUCAAUAUUUGGUUAGACUCUGAUUUCAUGCCGGCGAUCCAACUCCUUCUCUUCAUCCCUCUUUGACCAUUUGCAAUGUACUUGCAUUGCAAAUGUCUGUAGUCAAACUUGGGUCUUCAAUGUACUCACAUCCCUUGGUAGGAUUUCUCUCCUUCAAAGAUUAACGCUCUUUCUUCUCGAGAUGCAAAUGGCUUUUCAAAUUGUCAUUUUUGUUAAUGUAGGUCCUACAUUCAUGGUUUUCUUAAGAUUUUAUAUCAUCUUAGCUUUAUGCAUUUAAAGAGUGAGAUUUUAUAUCACCUUAGCUUUAUGCAUUUAAUGAGGGAUAGGGUUUACUAUAUCCCCUAAUUAAUUGUGUUAAGUUUAUUUUUUAUAGAGUUGACAUCUUAUGGCAAGUUUGGUAAAUUGAAAUUUUAUUUACUGAAUUUCAUGUAAUAGUGAAAUGGCCCGCCCCGAACCCCAGGGUGAGUCUAUUUAAUCUCAUCAAAACUGGAUUGAUAAUAAUCUAAUUAGUGAAAAUUCUGUCGAAAAUUCGGCAAAGUCUCCUUUAUAAAUAUAACACUCCCAAUAUGAAAAUAUGUAAAACAAGCACUUCUAAAAUAAUUCAAUUUAUAACAAACUCCAAUGAUCAACAUCCUCAACCAAAAUGCUGAGUGUUUCUCAAGAUAUCUCUAGAGUCUCAAAGGAUAAUAUUAUAAUUAAUAUUAAUAUACCUCAGUUUAUUCUUAAUCCCAAAAGAACGAGAUAACCAGGAUGCCCUAACAAAAAGCAUCUAUAUCUUCUAACACCA
RNAcentral lists this long non-coding RNA (70569 nucleotides) under Citrus x clementina. Its description in RNAcentral is "Citrus clementina (C. clementina) long non-coding RNA (CCLE_LNC002640)". The record is from RNAcentral. Lineage: Eukaryota; Viridiplantae; Streptophyta; Magnoliopsida; Sapindales; Rutaceae.